ACACGCUACAACAGCAAAGUUGGGCAUGCACAUAGCAAUUUCCUGAAUAUAAACCGACGCUGAUCGGACCUGGAUGGCAAACAUUUCCGAGAACGACGCCUAUCCAUCAAACACUGGAACUGUGCAUAUCAAACACAUUUGAAAGGUAAACGAUAAUUGUCGUCAAACUCGGUUCCGCCGUCGGUGGUUCGGACAGAACCCACGGCCGAGACAAAACCAACCGGAGGGGCGCUAGAAAUGAAAGACGGGCCAGAGUUCUCACAGGACCAUGUCUCCGGCAUAUACAGUAAUAAGAUGCCAAUCAACCCUCAACCAACAAGGAACCCUUCACAACAAUGAAUGGCGUGACAAGAUUACGACGACGACUCUUUCUUCUCCUCCGGCUCCGCUUCCUUCUUCGCCUCGGGUUCCUUCUUCUCCUCUGCCGCCUCCUCAAAGGUCUCUCCUGGGACGAGCUCUGGAACGUCGUCGUCGUCGUCCUGGGCAGCACCGAUGCUGGCGCCGCCAGCCUCACCGCCAGGCAUCUGCUUCUGAAACUGCUCGGCAAGCCUCCGCAGGUUGUCCAAGUUAUCAGGGCCUGUAAUCAAGGAAUUUUGUAUUGAGACAUGGUACAAAGGCGCUUGCUUGGUUCAGAUGUUUUACUGUCUUAUAGUUCAAGUAUAUGGUGUUAUUCACACAGUGAGCAAGACAUUUCACCAGAGCAUAGGCAAUUAUUGGACUAGACUAAUGUGAGAAUGUACAGGGGGACAUACCCAGUUGGUUGAUAAUUGUCGGCAGUAAAUCUUGCAGCUCUGUAAAAAAUAGAAGGCCAAAAAUGACAUUGCAGUCUCGUAAAGUCAAAGAAUGUAGUGCUCACAAUCACAAAGAACAUAUAUGGUACAGCUGGAAUUUAAUGGUUCGGUUUGCAUCAACUUUUAUUGCAUAUGUAAACCAACUUAAAGAGGAACAAGAAUGAAAAAUAUAUAGUAACUAAGCCUGUAUAUAGUAUGUAGCAAGGUGUACAUCUUCAACCUUAUGAUAUCAUCAUUAGUAAACUGUAACUUUACUUUCGAAACAUAAUGAGACUACCAACUUUGAUGUACAAAAGCCAUGUACACGCAGUUAAAGUUGAUAUCAUAUGCCCUCUACAUUAUAAUAUUUAUGUACCCAUGAAACUUAAAGGUAUAUGUACACAUAAAGAUCAGAUCACUGCCAAAGCAGUUUGACAUAUCUUCAAGAGAUACUUAUGUUGCUCCAGAGAAAAAAGGCUACUUAAUGAAACAAUUAAGCCAUGAAGAUUCUAAAGCAGGGCUUACUUUUCGUCUGUGGUGUUCCACUGACAACCCAUGUGUUUGCAGCAAUAGAUGCUUGCACUGCAGGAAUCCAAGAAAUACCAAUGUUAGAAGAAAUGUGUGAGUGGAUCAUUAGUUCUGCAGAAGUCAUGGUUCUUCAGCAUGUCGAAAUUUCACCUUUCGGGUUCUGAAAUUGGAUGACUACAUCAUCCUUGAAAAUGUUGACCUCUUCAAUACCAGGAAUGGUGUUGACUCCUACUCUUUUCAAGGUGCUUUGGAGCCUCUUGUCAUCGGUGGUCGUGGUCUUGUGAACGGCCUUCUUCUUCCUGUCAUUAGGAGAAAGCUUUUUAUGCAAGUACAACAAUAGGAGAAAUGUUUCAUAUUUCUGUACUCUAUAAGCUGACAUGCGUCCACUAAAUGGCGGCAUUCACUGACACAUCAAUUUAGAAGUGUGACACCAGUGAUGGUUGGAUGAUAAUCAAUAUGCUCAGCCAGCAAGCUUCAAAUUUGGCAUUUCUACUCAGGAUAGCAGCAAUGGUUCACAGGGAACAAAUCAUUCAUUCCGAGUAUAAACAUUUUAGGUCUGAAACGAUCGAUUUGCACAGGCAGAUUGGAUAUAUAUGUAUAGAACAGAUGUCGUGCUGAAAGCAGGAAACACUAGUGUUGAUAGCAAAACCAAUUUGGCGUUGCUCAUGGACAAGAGUAACAGAGCUAGCAUAGUAAGCACCUGCGCACGCUGCCCUUGCCCCCGGUGCGCACGGCACCGGCCAUCUUCUUCAGCUUGUCGACAUUCAUCUGCACGACACAUACGAGUUGUUGCAUUAAUAAGAAUAACAGCACUCUUAGUCAACGACAUGGCAGCGUCCAGAGUCACUGACUACACAGACCACGCAUGCUCUUCGGCCAAGAAGCAGAGCCAUGGCGCUGCAGCGAGUUUCACAAAUCUAGCAGCGGGCGGUUCAUCCUAACCUAACCACCCCCAAAUCCAGCCGAAGGACAGAGCAGCCAGAUCGAAUCUCACGAGCGCUCACUCCUCCGGCGCCCGCCUACCAGUCCGCCGGGCAAAUCCAACCUAACCCAUGGAUGGAACCAAGGCGGCCAGCCAGCGAAUCCACAGGCAGGACAGAUCGACGGCAGCGCACCAUUCCUCUCUGACCAUCGGCCCGCCCGUCACGCGAUCAAAUCAAACUAAAAGCUGCGGCGGCAGAGCAUAGCGCAGCGGGGGAGGGGAGGGCAUGGGCGCUGGGGGCAUACCUUGGGCAGGCGACGCCGGCGGCGGCGGCGGCGGCGAGGGGAAUGGGGGGGUUAGUGGGGGAGAAGAUAGGGGUCGGGAGGCCAACCACUGCGAAAGGGGACUUUGCUUUCCUCCGCUGUGCUCGGCGUUAGGGUUUUAUCAGCCCAGGGGCCGAUCCUGGCCGUCCGAUCCGACCACGCACGGCGGCCUGCCUCUAGCACCAAAUUGUCAGAGGAAAUGGAUCUCUUUUUCUUUAGGGGUGAAAUGGAUCUUUCUAAAGGAUGGAGCUUUAUAGUUGUCACUGUAGAAAAAUUGGUCAUUUUGUUGGGAUGAUUUCGGUAUAUGAUUGACGUAUGAUGUAAUUUCACUGGGAAAAUGUUGUGCUUAAAUUAUAGUUUUUCAAAAAAACUUCCGAUCGAUUGAUCAAGUCAAGGUAGCACAAAAGAACGCAAGAAGUAAAAAGUGCAUCCAGCUCACUAGACCACCUAGCAACAACUACAAUAGCUGGAGUGAGCCUUUACGGAGCGGGGCAAACCUUGUUGUAGUAGACUGUUGAGAAGUCGUCAUGCUAAUGCCCCAUAGCACCAGCACAUAAAAACAGCAAACCGCCGGCGAUAAAGAGAAGCGUAGAUCGAAAGGAUGCAACUCGUACACACACAAACACAGACGAACAAAGACCGGAUCCACAUGGAUCCACCGAAGACAAACGUCGACUGCAUCCCGUGAGAGCUGUCGGAGACAAACCUUCACAAAACACCCCGAUGAUGCUAGAAGCACCACCGGGAUGGGGGCAAGGCGGGGAGAAUCUUGUUCCAUCUUCACAGAACCGUCGCCGCCGCCUUGCCUCUCUAAACAGGACACAAAUCCUAACAAAAUUAUAACACGUAUUAAAAAUAGAGCCCUCAUGCCGGCUAAGGCCGGGAUCCACCAUGCCUCUAUGAUCCUAAGACCACAAGGAGGUGAGGUUGACUGCCGGAGACGCUGGCAAGAGGCACGAGAAACCCUAGCGCUUGGGUGCCUUGCAUAUGAGGGAAACGAGGUAGGAGCCGUCACAAACAUACCUCGUGGAGCCAAAUAAAUGAGUAUGUAGUUUGUGUACCUUUAUUCAUGUUUAUUAUUUGGUCAUGUCAUAAAAACAUAUGUUAUGUAAGAACUCAUCUGGGGACAGAUUAUAACAAGACUUCAGUGGCAAAAAAUACGUAAAUGGUCCUGGUUGAUGCACUUGCCGGUGACGCAGAAUCUUUGAGGCACCUUUCAUCAAAAGCUAUUUUACCAUAGGACGCACUCAACCCAAUUGAAGAAAACCAACAUGAAAGAAGUAUAUUGCAUAAACAAUAACUAAGGGAGUAAGAAAAACGGAGUUAUCAAAAGGAAAAAAAGCAACCAACAAAACUUCACUUGUUGUCUUGCCCAUUGAAGAUGUCGCACACUAUGUUGGGAUUGAAGAAGCUAAGAUCUAAGAGUACCGUGUAAGAUUUACCCCCAACCCCCAUAACCCUUGUACUCAAUCCGGAUUGAGAACCUCAAUUCCAUCGAUACUACAAACUCAUGACGAUGUUAUGAUCACUGCUAUGCAUAUUUACCCAAUUCCCCAUUCCCCGGAUCGAACCUAAACGCGGACGAAUGCAAAUGAGUACGCGAGGAGGUGAAAAAAGUGCUCACCGCCAUUGCCAAACUGCUGGAGGUGAUGAUGCGGAUGCCGGUGAAGGGGUCGGAAGUCGCCUUGCUGUUCUUUGAUCUACUGAACGCUGUCGCCGUCGGUGAGAGUGGAGGGAAGGGAGAGGGAGUGGCGAGGGGGUGGUGAGGGUAAUAACUGUCGGCUUUUCGGCAAGCAACGCGGCUUCUCGAGCGUGGCUCCUCGUGUGCAGGGCCCGCGACCCGCGUGCAUUGCGCGGGCCUGGCUUUGGAGAAACUACCAAUUCCAGCGUUGCUAGCGAGACAGGCCUAGAGAUGCUUUGAGUUUCGUACUAUGCAGGCCCAACAAUGAACACGGGCAACCAAACGGACCACAAUCUUCCCUUACGGGCCUGAUUGGCCUGUAUGCAGGCAACAAACAUGUCCGAAAGGUACCCUCUCUACUCUGCGCGUCUUUUUUACACUGCAGUAGUCCCCAACGGGGCCUCCUAUAUGAUGUUGCGUCAUAUAGACGCCCAAUGAACGCAGCCGGAAAUAUUUUUUUAAGGAACACCUGCAAUUUUAUUCAUACUCAUAAAAAUUACAGGUACACCGACUCGAUCUAAUUAAACCCAUUAAGAUCGCCAGAAUAGCGGCCAACCAGCUAUGCCAUGUGGCGCAAACUGGUUGCCUGUAGUGAGAAAGCUUUUAAAAAUAGAUGAAGGUGAGGAAUUUUUCUAAAUACUUCUUUUCUUUUUAGAUAGAGGUGAGGACUCUGUAUAUUUUUUUUAAGUGGCGCUCGUUCGUAGUCCGCGGUGGUAAUUUUUUUCUUUUUUUCUUUUUUUUAAGAUGGAGGUCAGGAUUUUUUUUUCUGAGAUAUUUUUUAGAGGGAGGCGAGGACCUCAUGUAUUUUUCUAAAUGAAAAUGUGCGCAUAGUUUUCUUUUAAAGCGCCCUAACAACUAGUGCAAGAAAAAAGGUCGCCCCAGCAGCGAACCGUAUUUAUAGCAGAAACAUGGACGUGUGUAGCGAACACGAGACGUCCGAUCUCAAGCGCAUGAUCCUGCCACUUGACACAAAAAGUUUUGGUGACUAAUGGGUAGCGCUGACUAUCAAGAACUAUGAAUAGUAACUUAUUUGGAAGUUUUCUGAAAUUUGAAACACGUUUUUUUUAAAUUGAAUCUUCUUUGAAACGUAAACGUUUUUCAAAAGUGUGAACAAUUGUUUGAAAAUGCGAUUUUUUUAACACAUGAACAAUCUCUGAAAAAUUGGAACACAUUUUGAAAACUGAGAACAAACAUUGUAAUUCCAAACAAUUUUUGAAAAUCCAUUUUUUUAACACAUGAACAAAUUUGAAAUUCUGAACAUUUUCUGAAAUUGCGAACAAUUUUUCAAAAACAGCAACAAAAUUUAAAACUCUUAUUUUUUUGAAAACAAGAACAUGUUUCGAAAUUCUAAACAUUCUGGAAAAAAGAUAACAAUGUUUUAGAACAUGAACAAAAUUUUGGAAUUUUCAAUCAUUUUUGAAACCAUGAACAAAUUUCAAAAUUCCAAUCUUUUUUGGAAAACACGAACAAUUUUUGAAAUCAUUAACAAAAUUUGGGAUUUUCGAACAUAUUUUUUAAAAAAUGAACAUUUUUUGAAUAUGUUGACCAUUAUUUGAAUUUUGUGGUUUUUAAAACAAAAAAUGAAAAUGAAAAAGAAACAGAAAAGAAAAAUAGAAACUGAAAAGAAACGAAAUUGUUUGAAAAUGCGUUAAAAGAAAACUGAAUCUCUUUUGAAAUGCGAACGUUUUCCAAAACUGUGAACAAUUGUUUGAAAAUGCAAUUUUUUUCAAAAGACGAACAAUCUUUGAUAAAUUGGAACACAUCUAAAAAAUGAGAACAAAAAUUGAAGGUCCAAACAGUUUUUGAAAAUUUGAACAACUUUUGAAACUUCAGCUUUUUUGAAAGCAUGAACAAAUGCUGAAAUUAUGAACAUUUUUUAAAAUCGCAGACAUUUUUUUAAAGGCAGCAACAAAAUUUUGAAGCUGACCUGGCUAAUACUCAAUCAACAAUUCCAAAUGUAGUGUCCAAAGAGAAUUACUCAAUAUUUACAAGCAUAACCCGGUAGCAGCAGCAUCCCAGAUGUCCAAAAGAUAUACAGAUGUCGAAAAGAAAUAAUAGUUCAAAGGGAGUUUCAGCGGUGUGGAAGCAAAAACUUAAGCAUGGGUGAGCCUUAUCCAUGCUUAACCACCUAGCUAAUGUCUCUGUAAACUCAACCUAGUCAUCACAAAGAGGAAUUAAUGUCUGUACAGGGCAUGUAUGUACACUGGCACACAAUUUCUAUCGAUGGCGAGAAAAGGACGGCGAGUAGCGUUUGGGAAGAGACCCCAUUUCAAAGCGACGCUCAUGGCGCCGGGGUGGCAGCAUCCUCUCCAGCCUGCUGAAUUGUUUUAUCCAUGCAGAGGAAACAAGGGGUAUGUAAGAUCGGAUGAAAAAUUACAGCUAGACAUAGAUGCGAAUUGAGCAGGGCAGGUAAGGUGUGCGGAGUUCAGUUACCGGUGCGUCGCCGCGGUCCUUCAAGACGUCCUCCCAUUCUUCAUCGCCUACCGCGAGUCCUUCCAUGACAGAAGCCAUGUCCUUUACUCUGCACAGGCAAAAUUGUGUCGCGCUUUCAGUUUCAGAGUUUUUCGCUAACUGGAGUGCACAUAUUCAAUUUUUUGUUGAUUUACUUGUUCUGCAUAGCAUCCAUGUUCAUCUUCACAUAGUAAAAGUAGUCCAGACAGUUAUUCACCUGUGAUAGAAGAAGAAAAAGAAGCCAGGUCAUUACUAAAGGGGAUUAAGCCAUGUGGCUAAGCACAGCAGCAUCAAGCCUCAAGCCAACCUGUAUGCUAGAUGGAACUUUCAGACAAUAACCUCAUGAAAUAGGAUAAACAUUAAUAAGAAAGAAAUCACCCAAGUACUGCAAAUGCAGAUGCCCAGGAAAAAGACCCAGCAAAUUAGUUUCAGACAAUAUCAUGGUAGUAUAAACACAGGGAUGUAAAAAAGCAGACCUCUCCUGUUCUCAAGAUUUCUUCUAUUUUAUCCAUAAGCCUGUUAUUAUCCCGAAUAAUGUCUUGAGCACUCCUGGAGUCUAGAGUCUCUAUGGCAUAAAAGAAGGUUAAUCAGGCAUGCAAGUUUGAUCAAAGGCGUCAGGACUAGAGAAACGCUGGUCAACGCAACAUUUACAGAGUAACAAAAUUACUAAAGCCUGUACAUCAGACACAAAACAAAAAAUACUCCCUCUGUAAACUAAUAUAAGAGCGUUUAGAUCACUACUUUAGUAUUCUAAACGCUCUUAUAUUAGUUUACGGAGGAAGUAAUAAAUAGCUACACAUAGUUGAUACAUUUUUUUGGCAACUAAAGAUAAUUUAAGGGGUUUAUAAUGCAAAAUAAAAAUAUAUGCAAAAAUACUUAUGCGCAGAAAAUCGUGAUAAACUGAACCCUCAAAAGAAGUGAUAUGUGGUAAAUGAAAGGAAAGUAUUUCUUGACAGAAUAACAUGAGAAAAUAAAGAGCGUAUGGAUCAUGGUAUGGAAAGCCAAAUCUACCUUUGGACAGGGGAUGCUUGUUGUUUUUCUUGUUAGCAACCUUGGUUCCCUUUGUCUGUCCAGUAAUAACAGAGAUUGCGGAGCACGGUGAAAUUACUGUUAGUUAAACAUCGAAAUACAACACUCGAUUUGUAAAGACAGGCUCAUAUCAGAUCAAUUUUCAUUCCUUCCAGCAUUGCCAUAAUGCUAAUAUAUAUUCAGUCAGGCGGAAAUAAGGAAGGUUGGGACAUUAACAUGUCGGCGUCUCUCAGCAUUAGUGAGCAAAGAUUGCAUGUCACAAAUAUUUGUCAGUCUACCUUCAUGAAUGGUCAUACAUAAUAGAAGCGCAAAUAUUUUAAGAACAAAUAUUUGUUCUUAAAAUGUUUCAGACCAAUGUGCUAAGCUAGAGUUCUGUAAAGAUGACAUUCAGAAGGACAUGCUGUACUGCAAUGCAAUGCAAUUACCUUGGUAAAAUUUGCUACUGCAGAUUUUUCUUGCCCCAGCUGUGCUUGCCUAGCAGCUUCCUUCUUCUGCCACAAUGACAAAAACUUGAUCAAGGCAUGGCACACAAGAGUUCAUCUAACCGGAUCAAAAUUAGGCCUAUCGGCAUUCUUGUGAUGUAGGAGUAUACAUUUAACCAGAUGAAACAUUCUCUAGUCGGAGCAAGUGCCCAAAUACGUACCUCCAAGUCUGACAGCCAGCGGAUCCGAUACGCGACAUCAAGCGCCGUCUUCUCCGCGGCAGAAGAGUCAGUAAAGGGAGGGAAUCCAUGGCGGAUUCGGCAGAAGAGUCAGUAAAGUCUUGGUGUCACUCAGUCAAAACAGAGGCUCUGCUCUGCUCUGCUAAUGGCGACAGCAAGGCGCAGCACGUACCGGGAGAGGCCUCGGUGCAGCAGCUGGUCCUCCUCCGCGGACCACGCCGUGGACGGCUUGUCGCCGCACCGCGCCGCCACGCGAACCAUCUGGGCCACCUCGCUGUCAUGCUCCUACUGCGGCGCGUCGAGGUAUGCGGCCUGCGGGUGGUCCGGCAUCGGCUGAUAAGCGCCGCCUACCGGAGAGUCGGUGGCUCUCGCGUGGGCGCAGCCCAGACCCGGCGAACCGGAGGACGACUGGCUCGGCACGGCCGCGGUGGGCACGGGCGGCAAGUCGGCCAUGGCCGGCUGGUACACCGGCAGCGAUCUAAUCAGGCACUCCAGCGGCACGCAGAGCGAGUUGACGCCCGCCCCGUCGCUCAUGAGCGCGCUCAACCCGUCGCCGCUCAUCAUCCUCGUGAGCGGCUCCUCCACGCCGCCGCCGCCCGCGGGAGAGUCGUCAGCGGCCCUCGCCCGGGCGCAGCCGAGACCGGGCGAACCGGAGGACGACCGGCUCGGCCCGCCCGCGGGGGGCACGGGCGGGGAGUCGGCCGUCCCCGUUUGGCACGCGGCCAGCGAUCUCGCCAGGAACUCGGGCGGCAGAACGCAGAGCGCGUCGGCGCCCGCCUCGUCGCUCAAGAAGGCACUCAGCUCGUCGCCGCUCAUCCCCAUGAGCGCCAGCGGGUCCUCCAACUCCAAGCCGUCCACGAGCCGGUCGUUCUCCAGGAACGCGUCGCGGGCAAGCAUCGGCGGGCCCUCCCCCGGCGCCAGCGCGCCGUUCCCAGCGCCCCGCGCCAACCCGUACAUGAGGAAGUCGUUCCCCGCGCAGCCCCCCUGCAUCUGCAUGGGCAGGUCCGCCGGGCGGUGGGCGGCGGCGACGUAGCUAGAGCCCGGCGCCUGCGGAGGAGUCGGAGUCGGGUGGAAGAAGGGCGGCUGGGCUUUGCUCGCGUCGUCGUGGCCGGAGAGGAGGUGCAGGCAGAGCUGGUGGAUGUCGGGGCCGAGCGCGUCCAUCUUACCCGGCCGGGGCUGGCGAUCGCGGAGGAGGGGAGGGAGGAGAGCUAGCUAGCUAGGGUUCCGGGGAGGAUGGGGGUUGGGGAUUGAUCUCAUCUCGAUCGGGGACGGGAGGGGAGACCCGGGCGGCGCCGCGACGUAGGUAGCGUAGGCAGUUGAGAAGUUGAGAUGAGAGGGAGAGGGAGAGGGAGGGCGGGCGUCGUGGGGGAAGCGGUUUUCUUUUCUUCCCGAGUGAAUGAAACAGAAACGGCUAGCCAGCCCACAAGGGAAGCCAAGUCCUCUUCCUCCUACAUCCACCAACGGGCAAGUUGUGAGCAUAGCUCGAUGCCACCUAUGCCCCUCCGCCUCAGCGGAGCAAGCUUUUUCAAACUCACGAGCUUGUACAAGCAGCGACCGGGAAGUCCUUGAUGCAUACCAGGGGAUGCCGGCGGUCAUAUGAUCUGCGAAGCAAAUUGCCACCCCGGAGAAGAUACCACAGAUAAGGGCCUUUAGAAACUCCAAAGACCACGAAAGCCAGCCGAAUACAUGCCGAUCCACUGGAAACGUAAACUUGCUGGAUCCCGGAAGACCCGCCAGAGACACGUAUCCGCACGCCCUCUGCCAGAUAGAAGCACAUUAAUGGAACAGGGAAAGAGUGGGGAAAGCAUUAUUCCUACACUGGAACAACACCGCCGCCUUGCCGCCCCAAGCCAAACUGAAAGACUCUUAAAGAAAACCUAAAAAAAGUCACCCAUGCAUUAGGGUUCAAAUCCUUCAAAAUUGAGACACUUAUUUUGGGACAAAGGGAGUAUGAUCUAAAGAGCUUCCAUAGGGGAUAAUCCUUCGGGUUCAAAUCCUCCAAAAUUCCUACGAAAAUCCUUCAAAUCAAAGAGGCCCUACCCCACAAAAAUAAUAAUUCAAAGAGGCCCUAAAAAGGAAACUGAAACUGAAAGUAAAGAAAAACAAGCAACUAGAACAUGCUCCAUUGAAAAUUAUGGAGUUGCGCUCUGUUUUGGCCACCAACAGCUAAGUAUGCAUUGAAAAUUAUGUAUUUCUUUGUCUCCUGAAAGUGUCUAUAACGAGAGCUUUUCUACCAGGGGCAAAAAUCCCUCUGAUAUUCCAGAAGAUACUACUCAUGACAACAUUUUUUGCAGACCUUGUACCAAAGGUCCUCACUAAUAAGCAAAUCAUCAGCCUAAUCAUGAAACUGAGACUCGUCAUUACCAGUAACUAACUUGUUAUUUACACGAUUAGUGGGAGACAGGAGAUCAUCAGCCAUAUCUCCAUGCUCAAAAGGUUUUAAACUUUUAUCUACAUGAGUUAAAUCAACUAGAGGGUGAUCAGCUAGAACAUCAGAAAUAUCUACUCCUGCAGUGUGAGCAACAAAAUGAAAUCUAUCAUUAUGCAGUAAAGAGGGGUUAUGGUUGGUACCUGCAGGCUUAAGGAUCUCAAGAUUUUCACCUUCUUGUUCUCCUGGGCUAGCUCCAUCAUGGUCUUCCCCUUGCAGUCAAAUCUUGUGCUCUGCAGCUUGGACAGGGCUCCACUUCUCUUUCAAAGCUGGUGGCAUCUGGGAUAACUCCUUCUGGCUGCUCAUCUUGUUGGUCUCCCCCCAUAGGUUCUUGUCCAGCAUCAAUCAGAUCCAUCUCCUAGCAAAUUGAAGCACUGAUUUUCAUCAGGGUGGUCAGCUACAAUCAUAAGUUAGUUGAGUUACAUAGCUAGUCAGUAUUUGCCAAUCUCAAAAUCAGGGGCUCAAGUGUCGAAUUGAUAUGCCACAUCACCGCCGAUGUGGAUAGACGCAUCGGCUCCUGUCCAGAUUCGACAUGUUUUGAAACUUGGUUGAUCAAAUAACCAAAUGUUGCAACAAUUUGAGGUUUAUUUAGUAUAUUCUUAAUCAUGAAUAUACAUACACAGACGGCAAAAAGAAAUCGAAUAAACUGGGCAUUAUUUUCGCUCGUGCGACGUGACCACAAAGAUACGCCUACGAUCCACACGCUGGAAUGGUUUCUUCUUGCUCAUAAAAGCUAAGCCUACACUACACUUCUCAGUCCGAACUCCGAAGCCGAGUGCCGCAAAAAAUUUCGAAGCAGCAUCGUGCACGUAGGAAACAUGAACUGCAGGUGUUCUAUUCCCUAUAAGCGAUGAACUUCGCAAUGUCAUGGAUCCCAGCCUCUCUGUAGCAGUCGGCGAUCCGAUCCACGACUUCGUCCCAGUUGCCGUCAACCGUGGCCAGAUCCAUCAGAAACGCCGCCUCGUCAAGGACCACCUGCAGUUCGAGAAGCUCAUGUGACAGGGUGCAGGGAAGCAACUGGGCAUCUAUGAUGGAAUGGUAGGCAGUUUGUUGUUACAGACCUGCUCUGGAGCUUUUCCUUUCUUCAGAUCGUCUUGUUUGCCCUCUUCGGAUACCUUCUCUCUUAUGAACUCGAUCUGCUCAUCCUCCCACCCAGCUAGUUCAGCUGCCUCCUGUCGAAGCAGAAAGUAAAAGGUUGCUCAGCUGAGACAUAGAAGCAGAAAGUGAAAAGCAGAAGGUAACAGGAGAAACCAUACUUCGUAUCUACAGCCUAGUGUCCACCAUGGUGACUUCAAAGCCACUCGAGCUGAUUCUUUGGCUUCAGAUGUACGCCCAAUUCUGAAGAAAAGAACAAGCAAAAUUAGGAACCCUGAUUCUUUACAUGUACACCACAGAUUUUAUUCAGGCACUUAUAUAGAUGAAAUGUUAUCUGAUUUACAACAUGUAUGACAGCGCAGUUGCCAAACAUUAGCACGUCAUUGCUUCGUUAUUUAUUCACAACGUUAGUGUUGUCCUGCUAGUCCACAGCACUUGGAGAACUUCUUAGAUCUCUAUUCUUUUACGAAAUUUACACCACAAUCAGAUAACUCUCAAAUCAGAACUCAAUUGAAAGUACUAUUAGCAAUCUUAUAUCAAUAGAUAUUUUUACCACAAACGAAUUCUAGUCGGUUCGGUCCAGCACAAGCAAAGGUGCAGCAGAACAGCAAGAUGCCAUAAUAACUGCUUGACUCAUAUUUUGCUAGGGAUCACCAUUCACCAGCGCACACCGUGCUCAUGAAAAGUGUAACUACACAGUGAGGGCCUAAUUGAUAGAACAUCAAUCACACACCUAGUAGAUAUUUCCGGUCAAAAACUACCUAGUAGAUACAACAUCUGAUGAAAUAACAUAUAAUUAUGCGAUACAGCUCACACAUCAGUACCUUUUUUGAACUUCUGAGUUGAACACAAAGGGUCUUCCAAAUCCAGGAAAUUGAUCUCUAGUAUAGAAUUCUGAAGUAAUAAGAGCGGAGACCUGAAGGGCAAACGCAACGUACAUUAAAUCUCGUCAGAUAAACAUGAAUAAUGUAUCUCCGGAGAAGGAAAGAGUUUUACAUUAUCUCCUUUUUCCAGGUGGCGUGAUGCUUUCCUUUCUAGAAUGUCUGGAAAGAGUCCAACCUACAGUAAGAUAUCAGUAAAGAUAACUCUCCUCAAACUCAGUAGUUACAAACUGAGGUGUAUCUCUCAACCUUCUUCAACAAAUAGACAUCAAGAUCUGCCGUCUGCGAUUCUUUGAGAUCCCCUCUUUUGUAAAUGUUUGGACCAGCUUCCCCUACAGCAGACCAUAAAUCGUCUCGAACAGCAGACCAUAAAUCAUCACCACUCUCAGCUCUGCCAUCAGCCUCAACAAGUAUUCUAUGAAUAUAUUGAUUGACCUGAUAAAUAUGAGUAAAAUUUGUAAACGGAUUGCAUGUACACAUGUAGUAAAAUACUUCCUCCGUCCCAAAAUAAGUGUCUCAACUUUGUAUUAACUUUAGUACAAAGUUGUACUAAAGUUGAGACACUUAUUUUGGGACGGAGGGAGUAUAACAUUGCAAACACAUAGCAAUACAGACUUACGUUUUUAGCCAAAAGCCAUAGCCCAUGGCUACGCACUUCCACUACAGGCAUUUCCAUCCUGAAAGACAAGCAGAUGUAGACACACCAUUUAAAUACCAGUUCCAGCUUCCAGAGGUGAAAACAAUAAAAAUUUAUAACAGUAUAUGGAGGGGCAACUAACCCACUUGGAGCAGUUGGCCAUCUCAGUAGGGAUGUCAAGUUACCUACAUUUUGAAUAAUACUGUCAGGCCUUUGAGCUUACAUCAUAAUGUCCAUAAUCAUUGUCCAAGCGAAUAAUCCAGUCUAGACAAAUCCAAACCUUGUGGGCUUUCCGACAGGGGAACAACAAGUGGAAUGAGCCCUCUCUUAGCUCCAGGAGAAACUAUCUUCUCACCUGCCAAGCGCCAAAUGUAUUCUUGACAUCAAGGUGAAGAGAGACCAGGAGCUACAAUUUUAACACAAUGCUUUCUCUAGGUGGCGCUAUUCUAAGUUUCUGACCAGAGACCACCUAUGGAAAACUAAAAUUAAAACUUCUACUGUAUUAAGAAAGACAAUGGGAUCACAGUUGUUGACACUGCUGAAACCCAUUGAGUAAGCAUUGCCCAAUAAUAGAUACUCCCUCUGUAAAGAAAUACAAGAGCAGUGAUCUAAACACUCUUAUGUUUCUUUUCGGAGGGAGUAGAUGAUUUCAGUUUGCAUGACAAAGGGUCUGUUGGCACGACCGAAGAAUCCAUGGAAAUGAAAAAUGUUACUGAGAUAUGCGAAGUCGUACCUCGUGCAUGAAGCACGUUCAGUAAAGAGUUCAGAUGCUCCGGGGGGUCGGUCACGGCGAUUUCCUUGACAAAGGACACAUGAUCUGAAGAAUUCAACAGGAACAAAGAAAGAACUAUCAGAAACCUCGGCUAGCAAACGGAAAAGGGGCAGAGCAGAGUAAUUGCAUGGAUGAUGAUGCAAUCAGCAGAGCAGCAUAGGCAGAAAUGUGCUCUGUUAAGCUGCAGCUCCACUGGAUUCUGCUCAAACAGUCUACUAGAGAGUAACCACAUCUCUGGAAAAUGGUAGCUGAGGUCCAUUCCUAUUUCCUAGAAGUAAUGAUACGAGUCUAUAACCACAAUGACAUUGCGGAUCCAGCCGGCUCCCCGAAUCUAAUGCCAUAGCAGAAGCUCAUCAACCAAUAAUCAUAUAUACAAGUAUGUCUUCAUUAGAUUUAUUUGAAUGACAAAAUAAGCCUAAGAAUCCAUCUCUCUAUAAGCAGCGCGGACUACUCGAUUCAUCGAAUAGGAUGGCCGCAAUCAUGCAGGGAACUAACUAACAUCCAUAAGAAGCACUAUGCGGCGGCCUCACCGUACGAAGUGGCGGCGGCGGCGGCGGCGACCGAGGAGGAGGAGGAGGAGGCGCAGCGCGCGGCGACGAACGACACCCCUCCGAGCGCGCGCCGCGGCGCCUGCAGCACGGACGCGGCCGCGGCCGCCGCGGGCCUCAUCUCGCCGUGGCCGGGGGGUGCGCGGGCGGCGGAGCGAGCGGCGCUGGGACUGGGACCGGGAGGGCUUGGGCGACGCGGGGCGCUGCUGGCCUCACGCUGCCUUCGCUUGGGUUGGGCCUAACAAACAAAGCUGUCCCGAUCCGACAAGACGGGGACCGCUCCCACCUACGGCCCAGCAGAGAGCCGAGCCGAGAUAUCGAUCCAAUGGCUGCCGAAUUCCGGCCCAGGAUUUCCAGAUUCCCUCCCUCCCUCACCCACCCACCCACCCACCAAAAAAGAAAAAAAAAACAAUCCGCGCGUGAGCGNNNNNNNNNNNNNNNNNNNNNNNNNNNNNNNNNNNNNNNNNNNNNNNNNNNNNNNNNNNNNNNNNNNNNNNNNNNNNNNNNNNNNNNNNNNNNNNNNNNNNNNNNNNNNNNNNNNNNNNNNNNNNNNNNNNNNNNNNNNNNNNNNNNNNNNNNNNNNNNNNNNNNNNNNNNNNNNNNNNNNNNNNNNNNNNNNNNNNNNNNNNNNNNNNNNNNNNNNNNNNNNNNNNNNNNNNNNNNNNNNNNNNNNNNNNNNNNNNNNNNNNNNNNNNNNNNNNNNNNNNNNNNNNNNNNNNNNNNNNNNNNNNNNNNNNNNNNNNNNNNNNNNNNNNNNNNNNNNNCGACGCGCCGCUCCCCUCCCCGCCGCCGACAGCUCAAUAGGAACGAUCAAGCCAACAACCCAGGUAACCAACGUGGCUUUCUCUCCCCCCGUCUCCAUGGAUUGCUCCAAUCAAGCUCGGGCUUGGCAUUGCUGCAGGAGCCUGGGAGCGUGGGCGCGGCCAGGAGGUGCCUCUUCCGCGUCCUACACCUAUGCUGCGGGAUGGAGGAGGCUAGCUCUAGCAUGGAAGGGGCCAGCGGCGGCCACCCGGCCUCCGUCUCCCGCGCCAGCUCCGAGGACGCCGACUUCUUCGACACGCACCGCCAGGAGGACGACGACGACGCCGACGGCGCCUACACUGCCUCCGACAUCGCCGAGCGCUUCGUCCGCGUCAUCGACGGCAAGGUGCACGUCGAUGACGCCGACCCCGUCCGCGGCGCCGUCUCCAAGUUCGGCGGCAUCCUCGACUGGCGAGAGGUCCCUCCCCCUGUCGUCCGCGCUUCUGUCACCCGUCCUCUGUCGGUCGGUCGCUCGGUCUCACGGUUUGCUGUGGUUUGGUUCGCUCGUGCAGCGGCGGCAGCAGGCCGAGCAGGAGCUGGGCGUGGUGCACGCGGAGGCCGCCGAGUACCAGCGCCGGAUCCGGGAGGCGGACGCCGGCAGGGCGGACGCGCAGCAGGACCUCAUGGGCGCCACCGGCGAGAUCGACGACCUCUGGCUCACCGUCAAGCGCGCGCAGAUCGCCGAGGCGCAGGCGCGCAAGGACUCGGAGCUCGCCAAGCUCCGCCUGCGCAAGCUGGAGAAGAGCGCCCGGGAGCGCGCGGCGGCGAAAGCCGAGCUCGACUCCGUCCGGGGCCGCCACGCCACCGCGCUCGCCGACCUGCGCGCGGCCAGGGCCGAGAUGGACGCGCUCAGGAAGGAGCGGGAAGCCGUCGCGGAGGAGGCCAGCGCCGCGGCGGCGAGGGUGAGGGACACUGCUGGCGAGGCGGUCCGGGCCGGCGAGGCCCUGCGGGAGGCCGCCGGGGAGUUCGAGGUGCUCAGGGCCGAGCUCGAGUCCGCGCGCGCCGCCCACGACGCGGCGGAGGAGAAGAGGAUGAGGCUGGCGCUGGCGUGGCGGGAGGACAAGGUGCGGUGGCAGAACCAGCUGGAGGAAGCCGAGAAGGAGGUGCGGAGGGUGAGGGAUGACCUGGCCGCGGCCGGCGACCUCGAGUCCCAGGUGGCCGCCGCGUCCGAGCAUCUCGCCACCCUCAGAGCCGAGCUGUUCGCGCGCGCGGUCCAAGGGGCCAGCGAGGAGGAGGAGGAGGAUAAGCAGACGUCGGCGGCGAGCAGCACGCCGGCGAUGGUGGACAAGGCGAAGAAGGAGCUCGAGGAGGCGAUGGCGAGCGUCGGGAAGGCCAAGGACGAGGGCAAGAUCCUGCACGUCGCCGCCGCGUCGCUGCGCGCGGACCUGGAGAAGGAGAAGGCGGAGCUCGCCGCGCUACGGCAGAAGCAGAGCACGUCGUCGUCCGCGUCCAUCCCGUCGCUGGAGGAGGAGCUGAGGCGGGUGACCUCCGAGCUGGCCGCGGCGCAGGCAAGAGCGAGGGAGAGGGACGAGGCGAAGAAGGCGACGCCCGAGCAGCUAGACGAGGCACGGCGAGAGGCGGAGCGAGCCAAGGCGAGCGCGCGGGCGACGCAGGAGGAAGUCGCCGCGGCCAGGGAAGACGCGCGCGUGACCAGGGCCGCGGUCCAGGCCACGGAGGCGCGGCUGGAGGCCGUGCUGCGGGAGGCCCUCGCCGCGAAGGCGUCGGCGGAGGCCGCCGCGGCCUCGGCGGACGCGCUGCAGCAGGCCCAAGUCCCCGAAGACUGCGUGGCGUUGAGCACGGAGGAGUACGAGGAGCUGAGCCGGCGGGCGCGGGGGACGGAGGAGGCGGGCGGCGAGCGGGUGGCGGAGGCGCUGAGGCAGGUGAAGGAGGCCCAGGAGGCGGAGGCGCGGGGCCAGCAGAAGCUGGCGAAGCUGGGGCGGGACACGGAGCUGCGGAGGCAGACGCUGCGGGCGGCGACGGAGGAGUGCGAGCAGGCGGAGUCGGCGAAAGUGGCGGCGGAGCGGGCGCUGCAGGCGGAGCUGCGGCGGCGCGCGGGCAGCGAGACGGCGUCGCCGCCCCGCGCGGGGCUGGCGGAGAUCUCGACGCUGGAGGGCGGCGACGGGCGCGGCGGGAACCCGCACAUCCUGAGCCCUCGGGCCGGGUACAUGCCGCGGGCGGACGCGGCGGCGAUGGCGGCGGCGGACGAGGCGGGGCAGAAGAAGCCCUUCUUCCCGCGCAUGGUCAUGUUCCUGGCCAAGAAGAGAGCGCAGACAUGGAACGCCAAGUGAUGCGUGGAUCGGAUCAGCUUUGCUGCUGGCUGUGAUGAUAAUACUGAUGCAUCAUCGGACAUGUGUAAUGUGUAUAUUGAUCAAUGAGGUGGAUCAUGAUAUACGAGUGACUCUUUUUGUAAAUGGUUUUUGGUCUAACAAAGAUGAUCAUGAGAAUUUUUGGCUGGGUGCUUGCAAAUCAAAGUUGGUUUCUGUGGUGCAAAUUUCGGAUCCAAAUUCCAGUUGAUGUUUCUCUGCAGUAUACAUGGACACAUGCAUGUUGUAGGCGCGUGUCACUAGAGGUUCAGUUAUUUGGUGGGUUUGUGCUUGCGUUCGGUUUUUCUGGCUUAUAUAAAGCGUUAAUCCAAAGAAAUACCAUCAAAGCCCUUAUAGCUCAGUGGUAGAGCGUCAGUCUUGUAAACUGAAGGUCCGUAGUUCGAUCCUGCGUGAGGGCAUUUCUUUUUUUGCUUCUGAUUUGUUUUGUUCUUCUUCUUUUUUUUAACAGGAAGCCCUUUAUGGCAAAGCUUUAUCACUUGAAAUCACACUUACACCGUCUGCUAAAAAAACUAAAGAUGAAACCACGUGGACUCCAACAACAUUGACGGUCGAUCAUCGCGACCCUGGCGAGUUGGCACAUUAGCUUAUUAUUAUUAUUAUUAUUAUGUAUUACAAUGCUCAAUAGAAACCUUCAUGAACCCGUCCAUCAUACUACGACAUUCAUAGAAUUGGCGUUGAGAUCAUGGAACAUCCGGUGUUAACUUUCAGGGCUUCCUCGACAACAACCGGAAAUUCCCACUUAUUCCAUGAGUUGCUCCUGUUUAUCAAAAAUAUGUGCAAGAAAAUCACCAACAUCAUUGCAGGGGAUUGGUGGGGGAGAAAAAUGAUGAUAGGAGGAAAAUGCACUGGAAGAAGUGGUCUGAUUUGGCUAUACCCACACAGAGAGGGAUAUGGGGUUUAAAUAUCUGGAAAUGUUUAACAAGGCCAUGUUGGUAGAACAAGCUUGGAGACUAGUAGCCUGGCUGAAUUCCUUGUAUGAACAAGUUUUAAAGGGGAAGUGCCUUCAUGGUACUGAUUUCGUAUCGGCUACGAAGGGAAGGAACUCAUCGCAUAUUUGGCGAGCUAUUUUAAUUGGCCGUGAGGUCCUUUGCCAUGCUGUGAUUAAGAGAGUCAGGGACGGCAACUCUACGACAGUUUGGGGGAGCGAUUGAACCCCUAAUAAUCCUGGUUUCAAACCAACCGUCCGACUCCCUAAUGUGAAUGCGGUGAUGGCAGAAGAUCUUAUUGACCCAAAAUCAAGAAGAUGGGAUGUGGAGAGAUUAACAACAAACUUUAUCCCUGUGAACAUAGAGAAGGCUUAGUGUGGUUCAUGGUCGGUUUGGAUACCUAGGAAUGCUAUAUAGCAUGGUGAAAGAGGACCUAGCCAUUUCCAAUGAUGUUAAGUACACCGUGUAUGUGACCAUUGAUCUCUCCAUCAUAAUCAAGGAGAUGGCGACGCUUCUGACCAAAACAAGUUGCUCAUUGGUCUUCGACGGCUGAGGUUUUAUGGAGGUUCAUGUUGAUCAAGUUUUGAGUAGUCUAAAUCUUCUCUAUGACAUCAUGGACCACGGGAGCUGGGGUGCGAGGACACAACGAAGCGUUAGUUUGGGCUUAAGCUUUUUGUUAUGAGCAUGCAUCAAAUCAUUUGAUGAUGGAAGCUUUUAUUGUGAGGGAUGGUAGUGGGUUAGCAUGUGACUCUGAAACGUAAUUAUUGAAACCCUGAAAAGGAGGGGUUAGCAUGUGACUCAAGAAGUUGUCAAUAUCUGGAAACAAAAAGGAGGGGAGAUAAAAAAACUACUAGCAUCCUUCAUGAAGUUGAUGAAAUCGGUAAAUGUUUUGAUAGCUUCCAGCUGGUUGACCGUUGGAAGAGAAGCUAAUGAACUUGCACAUAUUUGUGCUAUGAGAGCUAGAAGUUCUAGGGGCAUUGUAUUUGUAUCAAUUUUAUUCCGAACUUCUUGGAAACUUGUCUCGAAAAUGAUCGUAAUCUCCCAGGUUAAAUGAAUGAAAGCCAUUGGUUUGCAAAAAGGGGAGAACCAGUUAUCACACACUUUUCUUUUAGCAAAAAUCAAUCAUCGUGCUAAGCUAUCAGAUGGACACCAGCACGACAGCCUAUGUAGUUAUGGCGUCCUACUCCCGUCCAAGACGUGUCCGAUGUACGCGAGGCUAGUGAGACAGUAGCUACAAAUGCACUUUUUUUUAAAAAAAAAAUAGGGCAACCCGAGAAAUCCUAUUCGCCAUGCGCUGGUGGCAAACAGAGGCCGCGACGCUCACUGAACAAUUUUUUAAUAUACAAUGCAUAUACGCUGAAGUUGAAAAAACACACACAUACAGAACAAUUUUCUACAUAUUAUUCUCAAUGGUUUUUUAGCUCCGUAAAAAGCAACAUCAGUUUAUUUUUAGGAAAACCAACUAAAGACCGAAGAGAAAAAACAUAAAAAAAGCUCAAGGCAAAGUGGGCUGACGCACCCAAACAUCUCCCUUCCGCGUAUUUCUUUGGGGCCCGCCACGCUAGCAACGGCCCACAGGACCAGCCGCUUCAGCACGCGCACACGCGAGACCCUCGACGCCUCGCUCGAUUCCCUUCCGUAGAUCCAGACCGGCGGCGGCGCUACUACGACUCCGGCGACGGCGAGGCUGCCACCCCCCUGUUCCGCUCUCCCUCCCGCCUCUCCGCUCCCCCCCUUCUCCGCUCCGGGUUCCCGAUACGCGGCUUCACAAAGUCAAAAGCAGUCGAGCGGACGGUGAUUAGGAAACCGGACGCCACCGAGCGAACCAAACAAAGCCAGUAUCCUGUAAAAAAGAAUCGGAAGCAAUGCUUUCUUAUUGCGGAACCCAUUACGCCACCUGAGCAGCAACCAAAUGUGCCGUGUAUGUAUUAUCUUGCACUGGGUGUGUGUAGUCUGGCGCGACAUUGCGGGGUGUAUCUGUUAAGCUUGGUGAGCGUCGUUAGUUUAUAUGCAUGUAGCUAGGAUGUCACGGUGUGUUGGUUGAUGCUGGUUCUAGUGCAAUGUGGGGUUGCGUCAGUGUGCCGGUAUUUUUGUCCGGUGCGUUCGUGGGUAUGGAAUUUUUAGACGUGCAUAUUAUUUUUGCUACAAUGUACACAAACAGGAUAAAGAAUGGCCAUCUCAUAGUGUCGUGUUCAGGAUUAGGUAGGACAAGAAAAAAGAUCAUUCACAGAUGGAGAACGAUUCGGUGCAGAGUGACUCCAUUUGCAAGUCCCCGGUGCACAUUAGUGUUUUCUCAAGUGGCGAGGCAUCACUCAAAACCUGAACCUACCCGAGUCGAACGGCACCAUAAAAAACCGGCAUCACAUUAGUUUUUUUUUUUGUCUCUAGAAGUAGAAUUUUACAGUGGUUAUUAUUGAACCAUUAGCUGUUGACAUCUUCUAACUGUACAACAUACCUUUAGCAGUUUCACGAUUUCCGUUACAUGUGAUGAUCCAAUAGUUACAGUUUCCUCUGCACAUUUUAAUUCUAGAUCAUAAUACCUUAUUUACGCUUGUUCUAUUAUCUGCUACAGCUUGCUCUCUUAUCUGCUACAGCCUUGAUUUGUAACUUUUUCUAAGGAUGCCUUUUCCUUCUAUUUUAGGAUAAGAGCUUGCUCUUUACUCUACUCAGAGAGGAGGCAGGCAGAGGCUAACUGCAUAAGAAAAAAGUAAUCUGACAGAUAGCAAGCUUAUCCUUAUUUUCAUUGUUCUGUAUAGAUUGUUUCCUUACUCAUGGAUUAUAUUUGAUCUAAUAUGUGAACAAUCUAUUUAAUGUAGGUGAUCACUGAGAAGGCUGGGAAGAGUGAUAUCCCUAACAUUGACAAGAAAAGGUUAGUUCUGCUCAAACACUCCAUACUCUUUAUGUAGAACGAGAGAGGCAUGCCUGUAGCCAUACCGGUGUGGUGUGUGUGGCGGCGCAUAGAGACAACCUCGUGCCUCUCUUUGUCUAGGUCGCUAGUCACUUGACCAAAUGGGCCUAGGCCUCAUGGGCCAAUAGGGAUGGGCCUCUCAUACAACACUCUCCCUCAAGAGGGGUGAUUGAUAUCUAUCGUUCCCAUCUUGUCACAGGCUAAACUGCAUUAUCUGGUUACCAGUCCUUUAUUCAAGCAAUCUGCAAUUAAUUGCCAUGGAUUUACAUGCUCUAUGUUGAUAAUCCCAGCAUCCAACUUUCUUUGAUAAAGAAUCUGUCUAUCUCCACAUGUUUGGUCUAUCAUGUUGAAUUGAGUCGUUUGUUAUAUUAAUUUCUGACUUGCUAUCACACCAUACAUUCGUGCAGUUGAUCUUCAAUAUCUUCGGCUCUUCUAAUAGAUUCCUUGUCCAUAAGACAUGUUUAUGUAUUCAUCCUCUGCAGUUGAUUCUGGAAACAAUAUGUUGUUUCCAAAUCACCUAUGCACUAGAUUUUCUCCUACGAAAACACAUCAACAUCGCAAUAAUUACUAGCUCGUAUGGCGGUUGCGGAUCUCCGCAGCGAAGUGGCCUGAUGGCCGGCGUCGAAUGCCGUUGUAAGGCGUCGAGCUCAUCACUAGCCGCCGCCGUGUCCAAUUAUGCAAUGGGCUGGCCCCACAGUGUCCAGCGCGAACGCUAGUAGUACACUAUUGGCAUAUGAUUUAACUCCAACAUGUUUGUCUGUUGUGGACUCAAAUUUAUAUAUCUUUAUGGUCUAAAAGUAGUUGAUAUUUAUGCAUUAAAAUUUUGUUGCAUGUCAUCAUUAUUUUCUAAUAUAUGAUUUAGACAGGACCAAUGGCUGUAGUUAUGGUUUUGGCGGUUUCUUGUGUGGGUGGAGCUAUCGCGGCAGUAACUGGAGUCGUUUCAGUCUGGCAAUCUUACCUAAGGCAUAAAGCUAGACGUGAAAAAGAGGAAAUCUGUCGUAUCUGCGGAAAACCAGUCAAACUUCGACUAUUAGGAGAACACUUUGAAAAUCAUGGGUAUGGAAUUGUAGUACAGAUGUGUAUACAUGUUUGUUUUACUUUUCUCACCCUAAUACUCAAUGCAAUGUAGAGAUAAGAAAGGGCAAUCAUCAGAAGAUGAAUACGUUGACAUCAAUGGUGCUGAUACUGCACUGUUUGCAUAACAUGGUAAGGCUUGAUUUAAAUCUUCUCAAAUCAGUUCUUCAGAGCUUAUUUAUGGGGAAUGCUUCUAUGAAUAUACAAUUGUGUUUGAUAGGUAUGUCGAUGAUUUUGACAUUCGUGUCGCAAGCAAUACAUAUGCUUAAGAUUUAUAGUUUCACUGAAAUAACUAAUUUGCUACAAGACGCACUGAAACAAAACAUGCGUUCUUACAAAGCACAUGUGCCAAGGAUGCUUGCAUGAUUAUAACUUGUCCAUGUCUUGCAUGGGCGUUGGAGAUUUUCGAUAUGAAGAACUGGGCUGCGACUUGCAUCCUUCCUCUAGAUGCUAUUUCCGAAGAAAAAAAAAGACAAGCAUUUCCGCAAGAAAUCAAGAUUUAUCCAAUUCAAAAAGUUGUUAGCCACUGUUAGUAAGGACAUGGUAAAACAAUGCUGGGUCAGUGAUUAAGCUAAAGAAGUAUAGCAAGCAUCGCCAAGGAUAAUGAUGCCACUUGCUUAGCUUUUACUUACUAUAAAUAAAUAUGUAAAAGUUUAAUUGACAGCGCAUGCAUGCUGGAAUGACUUUGACUAAUGAUUGUUGGUAAUUCAUUAUUUUCUACUUGGAUUGUUAUUAACCGGACAUUGUUGUUGAUGCUCACAGGUGGGUGCGAGGCGAUGAGAGAAAAGGGGGUUUUGCCACUUGCGAAAUGGCGAGGCGUCGGUUGGGUCAUAACUUUGAAAUAGCAAAAGGGUUUGAGGAUAUAUAGUUAAGUUGAUGUGGAGAAGAAAAACUUUCCUUUAGUAGUAAAAUGCACUUGGGUGACUGUUUACAACAAUCGUUCUGUGAGAGUGGUUGCAAGAAUUCUUUGCUUUUGUUCGUUCUGCAACUGGUUGCUUGACUAUGAACAAUUGUUGGUGUGAUGUUUCUUGUUGCGCCCGCAGGAAGUUUAUUCGACUGGUUUUUCUCAACUCUGGCUCGCCCCGUUUGUUGGUACUGUAUAAAUUAGUCAAGUGUGUGUAUACUUCAACUAUUGAUCAAGGGCAACUCGCUUUUCCUUUUUUAUCAUCUACUCCCUCCGUUCGGAAUUACUUGUCGCGAAAAUGGAUGUAUCUAGAUGUAUUUUAGUUCUAGAUACAUCCAUUUCCGAGACAAGUAAUUCCGAACGGAGGAAGUAUAUAAAACAACCUCAUUCUUUUUUUAAUUUAUGAAUCAAGAUCCUAAGGAGCGACUUAAAAAACUCGUUUUAUGCUUAGCUUUGCUGUCUGCUACCCAUGGAGUGGGUGUACAGCGAAUAGGGGUACUUGUGUGGUCAAAUGGAGUUGAAUAAGAUGUUACUAAACCCAAUAUGCUAUGCUCACAUAUUGGUUGUAAUAACAACUUCGUAUCAUGGGACAGCAAAACAAGUAAACAACUUCUUUCUCCACCUUUAUACUCUCUCCGUCCGGAAAUACUUGUCGUAGAAAUGGAUGAAUCUAGAACAAAAAUACGUCUAGAUACAUCCAUCUCUCCGACGAGUAUUUCCGGACGGAGGGAGUACAAUAUAUUACCUCCGUCCCAAAAUUCUUGUCUUUUUUCUUUGUGAAGUUCAAACCACUCCUGUUUAUAUUCAUAAAAGGCUGCCGGUAUAAUGUUCAGGAUACAUUCAGGUGGCUCAUGUAGCCAAACCUUGCACAGAUUAUUUCCUACACCUACCUUAGCUAAGCCAUGAGUUGCACCGUUUGCUCAUCUCCUUACCCAACUCACCUUCCAUCUUUGGCGUGACUCCAGUAGGUGUUUGACCUCCGCUAUCAGCGUUGACAAGUCCCUGUCCUGGCUUUGAAUUUUUGCAACAACUUGUUUGCAAUCCAUCUCGAUAUGAAAGCUAUCUAUACUCAGUUCCUCCAUAUCUAGAUACAGAUGUAUCUAAAACUAAAACGUGACUAGAUACACCAUAUAUAGUUAGACAAAUCUAAGACAAGAUUUUUGGGAUGGAGCUAGUAUGAUACUAAUACUGAAUAAGGACCUCAGUAGAUACGUGAUGGAAAGGAUGGCUUGGAAGGUUCUAAAGCAAGUACUCUCUCCGUCCCAAAAUUCUUGUCUUAAAUUUGUCUAAAUACGGAUGUAUCAAGCCACAUUUUAGUAUUAGAUACAUUUGUAUCUAGACAAAUCUAAGACAAGAAUUUUAGGACGGAGGGAGAUAUAAAACGGAUCAAUGGUUGGACUACAAGAUGCAGGCAAUGCACAAUGCAAUUGCAGCCUUCCGCAAAUCACUGAAUCAUCUAAAAACAAUCAACGAACUCUUGUUAGGGACAUAUGUCUUUUGAAGAGUAAAACUGUUGCUGCUCAUUCGAAAAAGCGCUACUUGAAAUGAAUUGCCAUGUUACAUCAGAGCCUUUAUCUUCUUUCUUUACGUACAAAAUUUCAAACAGGGCUCUGUGGCGUUGCAUCAUGCGCUAUGCUGAAACUGAAACUUGGACCACCUCUUCUAUCAAACAGGAGGAAGCAUAAAUUUAUCUCCCUGUGAUAACCUUGUCCAAUGUGGGCAAGAGUAGCGCUUCAUCCUUUUCCAAAUUAUACUAUAUAUAAAGGCCGAGCUGGCAUUCCAAGACUCGCCAUACUUCUGAUGACUUCACGACCGGAUGUGCCUAAUAAUAAAAGAAAGGAAUUAGGGUCCAGCAACUGCCUCCUUUGCUGCUUUCAACUGGGAAUCUUUACUGAAUAAAACGCUCGAGUAUGAUACCAACAAUGCACACCCGAGGUCAGAUAGUCAGAGCAUCGGGUUGAUAUACAGAACAAACCCCUGCCGCAUCUAUUUAGAAAACCACCAUUGGUAAGAGAUGAGUGCCCCUUGUAGCUUGAGUGGUAUCAAGGACUGUAACCAAAGUAUAACAUGUGUCAGAAGCAACCCUCAGAGACAGUGGCCAGGCAAAUAAGGGUUAAAGUGAUACCACUCAUAUGCCAACCGGCAGUAAGAAACUACCACCUCCAUCUCAUAAUAUAAGACGCUUUUGCAAACUAAAACAGCUUGCAAAAACGUCUUAUAUUAUGGGGCAAAGGGUGUUUAACAGUUGUUUCUUCUUUAGGCAGGCCCAUUUUGCAGUUGUACCUGAUUUGGCAGCCUCAGAGUAUGCUCUGCACAGCUCAUUGGUUUCAUGGAGAAAAACAGGUGCCCUUACUGGCAUGUGCUGCCGCUUCAUUGAUUUUCUGUCAAAAGAUAUCUGUCAGAGAGCAUAGGCCAUGACAUAUGGUUCUGCCAUGUGAGUUUGAGAAGAGCAUCUACAGUCAGGAAGAUUCAAAAAUAAAUUUAUCCCAGUUUGAAGGAUGCAUGUACUAGUCAAGACUAUGAAACUCUUAGUUUGGGGACGCAUUUCCGGUAUAUUCACAAAAAACAACCAAUUUUAAGUAGCCAGCAAACGUGUAAGUAAUUUGAAUCUAGGUAGGUACCAGUGCCAUCAGGUGAAAGCUCGCACCUUUACUGUCAUAAGCAUAACAUCUUUCAUGAGAGGGAGGAUAACUUAGGAAGGUAACAUACAUAAAGGCAACCAAAGUGAAUGUAACAGCAAAUGGAAGUUAUUUCUUUCUCAGAAAAAAUAGCUCUUGCCACGCAACCUGCAAAUUUAAAAAGCUAGUGCAACCAUUCAAGAACAUAUGGAGGUUACUUGCCUACUAGUCUGAUUUCCAUUAGAGUUAGAAACUCUGAAAUAAAAUGGCCACGAGUACACACCAGAUCUACGGUAAAGCACAAUAGGAAGGAGCAUGAUAGAGAUAUUUAAGUUCAAUGAAAUUAUCUGCAGUUCAAUAAAUAAAACCAAAACAAUCACUUGUACGUCACGACAAGCAGCACAAACCUGUUUGACAACACCCAUUGUUGCAGAAUCAACAGAAAAUAAUGUAUCCGAUUGCCCCAUGAUGACAUGCUUAUGGAGCAACUGCUAAUGCAAAUUUGCAAAGAAUUGAUCGAUGUAGGAAAAAGUAAUGAUUUUGUAAAAAACUAACAAGUAACAAGAGAAAAGAAAAUAUAUGGGUGUCAAGUGCCCGCAUUUACACAGAUAAAAAAUUAUGAAAAUAAAUAUACAUAUACAAGUUAUAUAAAUAUAUGAAUGGUAUUAAUUUUUUGUGUGCCCAAAUUUCUCAUUUGUAACCCAUAUACAAAAAUAACAUAAGGAUACCAAACACUAUCACUAUCCUAAUAACUAUGUGCAUACCAAUUUCUCUUUUUUGUAUAUACUACAAAUGGAUAUUUUUUACCCAAAAAUUCAAAACUACUCACACAUUUACAUAAUCUAGAUACAUGUAUAAUUCUUUUCAUAAUUUUUGGAAGUGUAAACAAGAGUUUUUAUCAACGGGUUCAUGGGGUCCAUGUGCACAAAACCAGCACUCAACAACACUUCCAAAAAUAUACUACCUUAAAAAACAUUCUUUUCGAUAAGUAUUCUUUAAAAAAUGUUUGGCCUCUUGAUCAACUCGCUUGGGUGACAGCGAGAGACUCUAGAACCCCGCACAAGACGUGUUCACCAUUGGCGAUCGUCACACGCCUCAUUAAUGAAGUUGUGGAUGCUGCCGGAGUCUAACAAGGAAAUGAGUUUGCACUCUCUGACGGUGAGGAGGGACACUGGAAGCUGACCAGCGGUUGGGUAUUCAUCCCUAAAGUCAUCCUCAUCAGCGACCUCGAUGUAGAAGAGGUACGGGCAGUGAUGCCUGUGAGUUGGUUGGGCUGGGCCAACAACCUGGGACAUGACCGAUGCCAAGUGCUCAUAGGAGACUGUCCCGUCCAUUGCAUCCUCGAGUGUGGCUGGCUUGAGCAACUCAACCUGCAUUUUGAGAGGUUCCACAAUACCGUUGGUGUAGAUAUUGCGCCCUUCAUCAUUGGGGAUGUACUUGACGUGCGUGAGGAGCUCAAGCAAGUGUUUGGUGUAGUCAGCCACCAUGUCAGUACGGCAAAGGGAGAUGAGUUCUCUAAAGGGAUUGGCACACGAGGGCAGGGGAUGAGAAAUUGAGAUUAUUCUAGCUUGCCUUUAUUGAUCAACUAGGGAUAUAUAUCCCAGUUACAACUUGGUGGCUAAGAAAGGAUAAGAAUACAAACUCCUAACAGAUUUGGAGAUAGUGGGGAAAACCUUAUACGGAACAAAAAAAGCAUUUCCAAAUCCAAAUCCCCUUUCCUAACGGCUGUUGGUACAUUCUCCUACUGCAGUUGCCUUGGGUCUCCAACGCUAGUAAGUGAGCUCCCACCUAACAAGAUCAUGAAGGUUCCAUCAUCCAUGGGUUCUUUAUCUUAGUGUUGGUGGGCGGUGAUUGUCCAGUGUCAACAAGGUGACAUCAAAAGCAAGGAAACAUGAAUGCAGAUCACCCGGAGCAAACAUGCAUUACAAGCAUUUGUGAUGAUCAUUCUAUGCAAACAUGAAUUAUAAUGGGUGAAAAUCGACAUAAUAAUAAAAAGAAAAUAAAUUUUCCACAUCUUAUAAUGUACUCUUACAGCUAACUUGGCGGGAAGAUCCAUGUUGACCAGCAGGAAUCGAUGCUUCUCUCUACCGGGAGGCAUUUAGUUUGGGAUUUUACGCUGAACACCUCACCCGUAUCGAUAAAAUACAUAGCAUCCUCCUCUAUCCCUCCAAAUGCAGAAACAGACUUGCUGAAGCGUUUACUGAUGAAAAGUGCCUGGUCACCUAGCCCAGUUGACACCGGCAACCAGGCGCGUUCACUUAAAUCUGCCUCGAAAACCUCCAGCUUACGAGUAAAUUUGCUAUAACAACAUUUAGGCCAUUGCAAUUGCCGCUUCACCAUGAUUAGCUUUCCACACGACUCAAGCAAGUACUAAAAUGUGGCGAGGUUAUCGUUGGGUGCGUAAGGCAACUCGUCACAGAGGAUGCCAUCAAUGAUCAUGUUGUCUCCAGUCCUCAAGUCAUACAAGUUGCGCUGGUGCCGCCCCUUUUUGUGCUCAUUAUGGUCUUGGGCCUCAUCUACGUCGCUCUCAACAUUGGGAUCAGCAUCACCUGAUCUGAUGUGGUGCUUGAUAUUGGUAACCAUGGGUACGCCAUUGGCACUAAAGCUUAUAUUGAAGGAGAAGAGGUCCUCCGCCAUGGAGAUCCCGCAGAGUCUGUUUCCAACGAGCACGAUGUCAAUGAUGUCAACGAAGGGGGUUGUUUGUGGCCUUGGUAGCCACACACCCUUCCCCGGCCGGAUUAAGAUGAUUGGAUAAUUCCAGUUGUUGGUCAUGAUAACGACGAGCUGGUCAUCAGGGGGCGACCGAAUGAGCACCUUGCGGAUCUGAAAUAACUUGGAACUAUUACCAACGAUGGCAUCCAGCUCUGGUAGCGACACAACUUCUUUAGAGAAAGGAUUGUGCAAGAAGUAGGUAUGAAUUUUUCUCUGAUCGUGAGUGCAAUCGAGGGCUGUGUUUUGAUUUUCGGUUUGAGCUUUUUUUCGCCCUAGGCCGAGAUGGCCGAAUUUCGGCCAUUUUCAAAAAUUUCGGCUGAAAUUUGACCAAAUUUUGACUGUAGUUUGACUUAAAUUUGACCAAAAUUUGCUAAAUUUGAGCAAUUUCGGCCUAAAUAUACUUUUCGCCUCCGGCCGAGAUGGCCGAAAUUCGGCCGAAAUACACAUUUUGCGGCCGAAAAUCAAAACACACUCGAGGGCGAGCCAGCUAUCCGUGGAGCCAAUGCACCGCAAGUUGUCGGGGAAGGAGGGGUUGCUAUUCCGGCGUCUGAACGCGAUGCACUCCUGGUCGUCAUCGGCGGACCUAGGAGGAGAAUCAUCCGGUGCACAUCAGAUGGAAAUUUUACAUAUUUAAGCUGGAAUUAGCCAUGGAGAUGGGAAAAAUUACCGGUUUCGUCAGCACCCUCCAGGGUGAGUGCGGGCGCGCCCGUGCUUAUUGUAGAAGCCGCCAUGUAGCGCAAUCCAAGGUGUCCGCCGCUGCGGCGAACGGCGGCACACCGCGUGGAUCCAAUUCCAUGGCCGCCGCGGCGGAGGCGGGGAGAAAACUGAUUGCCAGGAAAGAAUUACCGCUUGCAUCCACGGCACCUGCGGCGGCGGAGAGGGAGCCGAUGAGCGCCAGGAACGGCACACCGCUUGGAAGCGGGCGCGAUCUGCCAGGUUAGGGAGGCCGGCCAUCACGAGACCAAGGAUCUCCUGUGGGAGCUCCGACCACGGCGAAGAAGAUGGCUGGGAAGCAACGGAGUGCCAGCUGGAACAGCACGCCCCAUGGAGUACGGCGGCGAAGAGACCCAAGAGGUCGUCGGACUCGGACCACGGCGGCGGCGAUGCCAUUGGUGCUGCUGUUUUUUUUUCGAGGAGUUUUUUUUUUUGAGGAUAGAAAAUAUCUGGAUUGUGAUUGGGGCUGUUCAUUUACAUGGACUUAUUGGCGUAGGGAAUUUAAAGUUUCUUUUAGUCCUAUCUAAACUAAACAGAAGGGACUUAGGGAUUUUUUCUUUGAGGGAAAAGCCAUCAUGGCGGUUUAUAUUUCAUGUGAAAACAACGGUACAUCGUUUGCCAAUACAUCUAGCAGAAAGGGAUUUAAAGUAGGCAUUUGGUACUUAUAAAAGAAGACCCCAAGGAAAAGUCUUUUUGAGAUUUUUAGUUGUAAUAUAGUGUUUUAGUCAAUGUUUAGUCCCAGAAACCAAACAAGUAGGGACUUUUUAGGGACUAGCGACUUUUUAGUUGGGAUUAAAAAAAGUCCUACGACUUAUGAACCAAACAGGGCCCUAGAUGAGAAAAACAUGGGGCCCAUCUAGGAGGGAGGCUGCCUCUCCAAUUGUAUAAACGUCCCUGUUAAAACACAAAAAUAACAAAGCUGUACGACUAACUCCCUACACAAAGUGGUACACCAAGGGGACCCGCAUCUAACCCUUGCCGACGCAGAGGGUCUCUAGUCCCCCCCCCCCCCACUUUAUGACCCACAAUUAUAGGGGAUCUAUCAUAGUCCUUUCGAUAAGUAAGAGUGUCGAACCCAACGAGGAGCAGAAGUAAAUGACAAGCGGUUUUCAGCAAGGUAUUUUCUGCAAGCACUGAAAUCAUCGGUAAAAGAUAGUUUUGCGAUAAAAUAAUUCGUAACGGGUAACUGUCGUUGCCAACACCCGUGAUGAAUCAGAGAUCGAGCGAGCUGUGAACACGAACAAGCGAGAGAGUUUUUGUGCCGCUGUCAACCGCGCAGCUUUUCUGUUUUCUCAUUCCACGCUUUAUCUGUUGCAACAACCUAGCUAGCUACCUCCCGGCGAGCGCGCUAUGAUCCGCAAUGGCCGCGCCAUCCCGCAGCCACGACUCACAGCGCAUGCGCCCACCAGGAGAAGAAAACGGGAGAGGGAGAAGUGGUCAGUGCAUGCUACGGCACUUGAGCCACCACCUAGCUACGUGCAUGUCUGGGUCAUAUCAUCCCGCAUGCACACAUUAUUACAAACAGAAAAACAGAACUACGUUGCAAGCAUGAGAUUAGUCUAAGCCUAACAUUUCACCCCCCCUAAUCUCACUGCUCCAAACUGAUCACUCCAAGCCUCUGUCUCAUCUCAAUGAAAUGAACUCGACCGAGUGCUUUUGUUAGAGCAUCAGCCAGUUGAUCUUGCGUGCCCACAUGAUCGAUCUCCACUUGCUCCUUUUCCAUGCAAUCUCUCACAAAAUGGAACUUCACGUCAAUGUGUUUGCUUCGAUCAUGAUGCACUGGAUUUUUGCUUAAAGCUAUGGCAGAUUUGUUGUCCACCUGGAGCCUGAACCUUGCAGGGGCAGCUCCGGUUAUGUCUCCCAACAACCUGCUCAACCAUAGCCCUUGACAGGUUGCUGCUGCAAUGGCCACGUACUCAGCCUCACAUGAAAAAAGUGCAACUAUCUUCUGCUUCUGAGAGCUCCAAGUGAUCAGGUUCUUGCCCAGAUAGAAAACAUGCCCGGAAGUGCUCUUGCGAUCGCCGACAUCACCGGCGUGAUCGCUGUCACUGAACCCGAGCAGUUUGGCCACACCUUGACCUCUCCUGUAGCUGCAUCCAUAGUGCUUGGUGCCCUUCACAUACCUCAAUAUCUGCUUGACGGCAGCCCAGUGAUGUGUGCUAGGCUUCUCCAUGAACUGGCUGACGAUCCCGACAGAAUGUGCUAUAUCAGGUCGGGUGUUCACUAGAUACCGUAGGCUUCCAAUCACCCUGCGAUACAGAGUGGCAUCGAAGGGCUCACCGUCGUCCUCUUUCUUCAGCUUGAGGCGACACUCCAUGGGCGUGUGGCAGCUGUUGCAGCCCUCCAUAUUUGCAAUCUCCAAUAUCUUCUCAGCAUAGCUUUUCUGACGGAGUGUGAUGCCGCUGCUGUUCUGCUCCACUUCUAUGCCCAGGUAGUAGCUCAGCUUGCCCAGAUCACUCAUCUUGAAAAGUUGCUGCAUCUGCUCCUUGAACGAGGCUAUGUCCGCUGCAUCAGUGCCAGCGAUAAUCAGAUCAUCCACAUAGACCCCCACCAGCAGGUACGAGUGAUCAUUUCCGCGUCUGUAGACUGCAUGUUCCAAGGGACUGCGAGUGAACCCAAGAGCUGCCAGAGAUUCAGCUAGUUUUGCAUACCAGGCGCGUGGAGCUUGGUGCAGUCCGUAAAGUGCUUUGUGAAGGCGUAGCACACUCUCAUCCUUGCCAGCAACCUCGUACCCCGGCGGCUGAGCAACAUAAACCUCUUCAGUGAGAUCGCCAUUCAGAAAGGCUGAUUUCACGUCCAUGUGGUGAACUUCCCAGCCGGAGUGUGCAGCCAGGGUCAGAAGAAGUCGUACUGUCUCCAUGCGAGCUACGGGAGCGAAAACCUCCUCAAAAUCCACCCCCUGGCGCUGUACGUACCCUUUUGCCACGAGGCGAGCCUUGUGCUUGACGAUGUUGCCUGCAGGAUCACGCUUAACACGAUAAACCCACUUCAGCCCGAUAGCUUUGUGUCCAGCAGGCAGCUGAGCAAGCUCCCAAGUCUUGUUGUUGAUGAUGGACUGCAUCUCGACGUCCAUGGCGCCCUUCCACGCCUUGCUAGCGAGUGCUUCGUCAACGUCGCGCGGCUCCUCAGCGCUGAAUAGGCAGCGCACAAGGAGGCAGCGCUCAAACUGCUCGCGCCCCGCCUGGUCUUCUGUUUCCUCCAACACGCUCGUGAAACUCCGAUAGCGCACUGGCUGCCCCGUAGGCACAUCGUGCCUAGAGUCAUGGGAUGGAGGUGUGCUCUCGCCACCUGACGAGUCCGUGGGCGUCGAUGGCCCGGACUGCAACGAGUCCGGCGUGCUCACCACUGGCGUGGCGACAGCAGUCGAUUGCGGCGUCCCCAAAGUUGGUGUAGAGGGUGUUGCCGCUGGACGAGGCGUGACCGGCGGGGUGGACGACCCGCUGUCCACCUCCUGGACACCAUUCUCCGUGGUGUAGACCAUAGUGAAGGUGGCUGGCACGGUGGUGACCGCGCUCGUGCCCUGAGCGUUCCAUGUCCAUGGUCUGUUCUCCUCGAAAACAACAUCAUGUGUUACCUGGACCUUCUUGGUUAUUGGGUCGUAUGCUCGGUACGCCUUGGAGCCCUUCUCAUAGCCGACAAACACCAUAGGUGUCGAUCGAUCACUGAGCUUGGUGAUGCCGGUGCUGAUGCGUUUCACGUGAACCGUGCACCCGAACGUGCGCAGGUGCUGCACAUUGGGUUUACGGCCGUGCCACGCCUCAUAGGGCGUGACACCCUCCAGGCUUCUGGUCGGGGCGCGGUUUAGCAGAUACACUGCCGUUCUCACCGCCUCUGCCCAGAAGAACGCCGGCAUCCCCAUGCUCUUCAUCAUGCACCGGGCCAUCUCCACCACCGUCUGGUUCCGACGUUCGACGACGCCAUUUUGCUGUGGCGUGUAUGGCGCGGUGGUGAGAUGCUUGAUGCCGCUUUGCUCGCAGUACUCUCUGAACUUGAUGGAGUUGAAUUCGCCGCCACGGUCUGACCUAAACGCGCGCAGCUUGCAGUUUCCGUCAGCCUCGGCCAUCACUUUGAUUUUCUUGAAGCGUGAGUACGCCUCAUCCUUGGACCUUAGGAGUUCUAACCACAUAUAGCGACUGUGAUCAUCUACCACAAGCAAGAAAUACUUGUUACCUCCCGGAGUCGUUGGAGUGAUUGGCCCGCACAAGUCCGUGUGCACAAGCUCUAGGCUGCGCUCGACUCGGUACGCCAUGGCCUUUGGGAACGGUGCUCGAUGUUGCUUUCCCAGAGCGCAACCGUCACAGUAUUCCGCCACGCGAUCGAUCACUGGCAUGCCGCGCACGAGCUGCUUCGUGGACAUGGUCCAGAGCGCACGGAAAUGAAGAUGCCCCAUGCGAGCAUGCCAUCUCCAUGUUGCAUCGUCCCCCUGCUCCAUCAGACACGCCGGCGCAUCAAUGGUGAGUACUCCGGUGUACAGGCGAUUUCGAGAGCGCUUGCUGCGCGCCAGCACUCGCCGCGCCGGGUCCAGGACGGCCAUGACGCCGUCAGCAAUGUUGAUGAUGCAGCCGACCUCGUCCAGUUGUCCCACAGAGACAGUCUUCGUCCUCAGGCUGGGGAUGUAGAAGACGCCGGUGAGAGCGCGCUGCUCGCUGCCUUGACAGCGAAACACCACACUGCCUCGCCCGUGGAUGGCCACGACCGAGCCGUCGCCGAACCUCACUGAGCCGUGCACCGUCUCGUCAAGUGAAGAGAAAACGUGCUGAUCGCCCGUCAUAUGGCUGCUGGCCCCAGUGUCGAAGAACCACACCCCGUCCGGUGAGGGGACAGGCAUGACCUUCUCCUCGUUGAGGUAAACAUGCUGGGGCGCCGCGAGCUGUAUGUUGACCACUACGGUGACCACAGCCAUGUACAGACCUUGAUCGUGCUUGGCGUCAGCUUGGACAAGAUUCGCCUGUUCUUGCUUGCCUUUCUGCUCCUCAUCCUUGACUCUGGAGUAACACUCCUUCUUCCAGUGGCCCUGCUUGUUGCAAUAGUGGCACUUGCCUUUCUUCUUUCCGCCAGAGCCGUCGGAUCCGCUUGCGCCUGUGCUCGGUGGCAUCGCCUUGCCGCCGCCCUGGAAUUUGUUCUUCCCAGGCGACUUGCUUUUGUUGUUGUUGUUGCCGCCUGACGACCGGCCGCCAGAGCCGAGCUGCCGCUCGCGCGCGUCCCACUCUGCAGAGGUGUACAUGAGGCGCGCGCUAGACUGCGCCGUGUCAUCCAGAUCAUAAUGAUCUUCGCACGCUGACAAACGCCCCGUGAGCUCUUCGAUCGUCAUGGUCUUGAGGUCGAUGAGAGACUCUAUCGCCAUAGCCAUCUGCCGGUACUUGCGCGGCAUGACGCGAAGGAACUUCUGGACAACCUUGUGCUCCAUCACCGGAUCACCGUACACAUCGAGAUUGGCGACGAGGCCAGAGAGCCGCAGCGCGAAAUCCUCAACGGACUCGCCCUCCUUGAAGCGAAGAUCCUCAAAUUCCUGGCGACGCACUUGCGCCUUCGCCUCGCGCGCGCUCACUGCCCAUGCGGAGAGUUUUGAUUGUCUCCCAGGCCUUCUUGGCCGAGUCCUUCGCGGCCAGGACACGGAUCAUCUCCGACGGCACGCCGGUGAGGAUGAUUUGUAGUGCGCGCCGGUCGCCGUGCUCGUCGGCUCCGUCGUUGAUCACCGCGGACCAGACGCGGGCCACCUGAAGCUUGACUUGCAUGACGAGGGACCACUCCAUGUAGUUGGUGCGGGUGAGGACCAUGGAUGAUGUAGAGGUCUCGCUCUCCCGCACUACUCGCUCGACGAUGCGCAGCUCGUCGCUCCCGCCGCCUGUCAGUCGCGCCACGGGCGCCGUGGUCGGUGGCGACUUCGACGGUGAUUUUGUCCCACCCUUGCUCUGCCCUUUCUCAGAAUCGGUGUCUGACAUGGUACGCCCCGGAUCGAUCGACACCGCCGGCCACCGGAGAGUGGAUCGAACACCACGUUGCUCUGAUACCAAUUGUCAUUGCCAACACCCAUGAUGAAUUAGAGAUCGAGCGAGCUGUGAACACGAACAAGCGAGAGAGUUUUUGUGCCGCUGUCAACCGCGCAGCUUUUCUGUUUUCUCAUUCCACGCUUUAUCUGUUGCAACAACCUAGCUAGGUACCUCCCGGCGGGCGCGCUAUGAUCCGCAAUGGCCGCGCCAUCCCGCAGCCAUGACUCACAGCGCAUGCGCCCACCAGGAGAAGAAAACGGGAGAGGGAGAAGUGGUCAGUGCAUGCUACGGCACUUGAGCCACCACCUAGCUACGUGCAUGUCUAGGUCAUAUCAUCCCGCAUGCACACAUUAUUACAAACAGAAAAACAAAACUACGUUGCAAGCAUGAGAUUAGUCUAAGCCUAACAGUAACAAGUAACAAGUGUAACAAAGGUGCGGCAAGGUGGCCCAAUCCUUUUUGUAGCAAAGGAUAAGCCUGGACGAACACUUAUAUAAAGCAAAACGCUCCCGAGGACACAUGUUGUCGUGGAAUUGUCACGGCAGAUGUCCUAGCACGAGGACUUAGGUGUGGAGCCAUCACAACGUAGUUAGCUUGAAGGGAUUAAACGGGACAAAGGACACAGAGAGUUUUACCCAGGUUCGGCCCCUCGCAACGAGGUAAAGGCCUACUCCUGCUUUAGGUUGUAUUGCUUGGGUUUCGAUUACCAGGGAGCGAAUACGCUUGACCUAGUUCUCGACUUGUUGUUUCUUGCCCUAACCCGCCGCCGGGUCACCCCUUUAUAUACACAAGCUGAUGCCCGGCGGCUUACAGAGUCCCGGCCGGCUCAUACACAACGUGUCCGGCUUGGUGACAGAACUAAACUUUCCUUAACAUACAAGUUAAACAUAUGGCGGUUUAUGCCCGUGGGCCUCAAGUCUCCUCCGGGUCUUAGGCCUUCAGUAAGCUUGCUUCAUGAACCACCAUCUUCAACAUCUUCUUGGGCCUUCUCAUUAUGAACCACCAGUGCUAUGACCCGGCCCCUCCUGGGCGGGUCAUACCCAAUAGUUAUAUCUCCAAUAUUAGGCCCCAGGUUGAUGUGAACUUGUUCAUAUCAAUCUUCAAUACUUGACUUAGAGAAAUCCUUCACCGUCAGUCCUUAUGAAAUCUUAUAAACCGCCAUGAUCUCAGCUCUCCGAAUUGUGCUAACCCGCCAUGACGUCAUCUCACAUUAAUAUCGCAUGAGGCCCAAAUCUCAAUAUACCUUCACUUUUAAUGAACCUCUGAAAAUCGAGGCAUCUGUGCUGUCACACAAUCAUUUUUCAGCCUCCUCGAUUCCCGUGCAUGCCAUCUAUCCACUGCCUUAUAAAUAGGGACAUGGGGCCCCUGUUUUCAUUUUUACCCCGUGCCACUGCCUCUUCUUCUUCCUUCCUCUGGACGCCAACGCACCCGAGCUCCGCCGCCGUCGACCUCGCGCAUUGCAUCAACCCAGGCCGCUGCAUCAACUUGAACGCACAAGAAACACCGCCGCGCGCCUUCGCUGUUCAAUAGCCCCGGUAAGCUCUUCUCUUUACUCACCAUAGAUCUCCAUUAGGGUUUGCUUGAGUUCUUCGGAGUUCAUCUCCGUUCCUCUUUGUUCGUCCCUAUCUCUUGUAGUUUUUGAUCGGAGCAUAGUACCCAUCUUGCGCGGUAUCAGUUUAGCACCCGUUUCUGAUAUUUGAAUGCCUCCCCUCCAUAGGGGAUCUCAUCUGAGCACGUGAACUGUUUUGCUGCCGCCACUUAGGUUUAUAAUUUUUCUUCAUUAUCUGAACUGUUGUAGAUCCAAAAUUAUAGCACCGAUAUGUGAAAACUGUUUGUCCAACACUUAGCAAUUCUUCACUCAUAGAUCUGAAAAUUGAUAGUUGUGUGGGCGGCUUAACUGAUAAACCAUAACCCGCCAGGUAUCAUUAGUCCCCUCUUAAGCCGCCAGUAGAUUGCUCUGCAUAUCUCAACACUAACCUCCGGCUUAACACACUGCAUGUUUAUAGUUCUUACCUUUGAACCAAUGACCGGCUUAACAACAUGAUCUUAAACCGGCAAUAUUUUUCUUUUCAGACCUUCAUCAACAAUGACUAAGAACUUCACCUCAUGCAAUUGGGUAGCGUCACGGGUUACCGAGGAAGAUCUGAACAAUUUUGUUCAGACUGGCGUCUCAGCCAAAAAGGAUGACAUCCACUAGAGGGUCCCAGGCUCUGAAAAUCCUCCUAAGCCCAAAGAAGGAGAAGUAAUCAUUUUCACUGAUCAUAUGAUCCGGGGGUUUAGUCCGCCUGGUUCAAAAUUCUUUUGAGACGUGCUACACUUUUUCCAGCUUCAUCCUCAAGAUAUCAGACCUAAUUUUGUCUCCAACAUCUGCAACUUCCAAGUUUUUUGCAAAGCUUAUCUUCAAGAAGAGCCCACUAUCGAACUGUUCAGGAAAUUUUAUUACUUGAACCGGCACACGGGGUUCACUGACGGGCCCAACUUGGAACUAGGCGGAGUUUCAACUCAGAAGCGGAAAGAAGCCACCUUCCCAUAUGCCAAGACACCCAGUCAUCCCAAGGACUGGAACUAGACUUGGUUCUAUUGCCAAGAUACAUCUCCAGAGGGUGAAAAUCCCCUGCCGGGUUACCGUGAACACCGACUCAGCAACACACAUCGGAACCCAGAGUGGAUCAGUACAAAGGAGUGGGCCAAAUAUGCGCCCAUUUUCUCAAAAAUCAGAGCCUUCAUGGCUAACGGCUUAACCGACAUCGACCUUGUUCGGUGCUGGGUCGCCUGGAGGAUUCUGCCCUUAAGCCGCCACCCGGCUUAAUGUGCGAGUACACCGGCGAUUUGAAAGAUCCACAAUGCCAUUGCAAAAUCCAACUAACUGACGCAUAAAUCAAUGAUGCGACCAAGGCUUUGCUGAAUGAAAGCUUGGCAGAGUGCAGUAAAACCAGACUUAGUCCUUUCUCCACCUUCAACCAGCCGCCAGUUGUAAAUUUUGCACAUAUUUUUUCAGUUGAAUCAUGCUUUCAUUAACACUAUCCUCUUAUAACCAUCUGACUUCCACAUGCCGAUUCUCCUUUUUGGAAGAAGAAGCUGCAGGACAAGCUGACCAAGAAGACCCGUACCAAGACCAAGGUUAACAAAAAGCUUGCCAAUAAGAAGACCCCUCCGAGUUACUUGACUUGGACGAUGAUGGUGAUGAUGAUGAGUUGGAGGUAGAACUUGAUUCUCUUGGCUCAUUUUUUGUACAUCUCAUUGACAAUGACUAUUAUCAGGAUGAAGCAGAAGCCAACCGUGCGGGUGACGAAGAGGUAAUUGUUCUUUCCUCCGGCUCAGAAUCUCUGCCAAAACAGAAAAACUCGACAAGCAAGCCAGAAAGUAAGGUUAUCUCAUCCUUUGGCUUAUCUGGAUCCCAACUUUAUUUUGAAGAAGCAGCAACAUGAAGCUCGCCGCACAACCCGGAAUAGCGGAGGCGGGAUCCUUUCCUCCGGCUUACCAAAUACUCCAGCUCCCCGCAAGUGUCGUCCAGAGGUUUCAACAAUUCCCGACUUAACUUAUCCCAAGACGUGUCUUUUUCGAAAACCUCUUAAUCCUUCUGACUCAAAUUACCAGGGAACAUCUCAAUCCUCCUCUGGCGACUCAACGAGGACUCAUGUCCCAGUCUUCAAGACUGUGCCUGGGUAAGAAUGUUAAAUCUCUGCUUUCAAUCAUGUACUCAAUUGUUGUGUUAACCCCGUCUUGUGUUUCAUUCAUAGAGCUAUGGCACAGCCCAACAAGAAAAUGAAGGUGACAAAAACAACUGACAACCCUUCUGAACCGGAGAAGCAUUCAACAUACACUUCCUUCCACGCCCCUAAAGCCACACUAGUAGAAAAUGGGCCAUUUGUACCGGUUCGUAAGGCCCAUCUGUCCCGGUUUUGGAUCCGAGACUAAAGAGUCGUCACUAAAGCCCUUGCCCUUUAGUCCCGGUUCUUGCAUGAACUAGGACAGAUGGGCCUCCACGUGGCCGCUGCGGCGAGCCCAGGCAGGAGGGCCUUUGGUCCCGGUUGGUGGCACCAACCGGGACCAAAAGGCAUCCAGGCGUCAGCAGCUGGCAGGAGCUGAGUUGUUUUUGGAAAGGGGGUGGUCUAGGGGUUUUGGGGGUUAAUUUAGGUUGUUAAUUAGCUAGCUAAUAGAGAGAAGUGUUCUCUCUUAUCUCCGUGCUUGGUUUACCAACACUACUGCUAUGCCUAAACAUGGCUUAGAUUGAAGUGAAGGCAACAUGUGGUGCAUGUCGAAAGUAAUACUAAUCCUAACUUGAUCAUGUUUGGAUUGUACUACUUUAGACAUGCACCACAUGCAUGUUGCCUUCACUUCAAUCCAAUCCAUGUUCAUUUCACCCACUGAUAUAUAAUAACUCUUCAUGCUCGCAUCAUGCAUCAUCAUAAUAACAAUUCCUACUAAUCAUCAUCAUAAUCCUCAUAGUCAUCGAACCAACCCUACUUAAUUGUUCUUAGCACAUGAUCAUCAUUAUUAGGUAGGACCUAAAUACCCUCUUUAAGGUAAAAUAGCAUAAAACAAUAUAGACUCUAACUCUCCAUUAUGGAGAAUGGAGAUCAUCCUGUCUCCAAUUCUUGUGCUUCGCUUCCUUUUGCUUCCAAGAGCCUCCUUACCACUAGUAGAAAAGGGGGCAAUGGUCCAGGCCAGGUCAGCCCAUUAGUCCCGGUUCAAUCCAGAACCGGGACCCAUGGGGGCAUUGGACUCGGUUCGUGAGCCCGGGUGAAAGUGCAAUCAUGCCCUUAAUCAUAUUUUGAUGUUGAUGACAACACAUAUGCUCGGGACUAAUCAUGUUUAUCAAGUAUAUCUCAGGAUUAUGUUUCAAAGACCGUGUGCAUGGAUCAUGACUAGGGACAAAAAUCAUAUAACUCAAGAAUGGAGAUACAAGAUGUUGAGUUCAUUUAUGGUUUCUUCUUGAGUAUAGGGAUCCCACACUAUUAAGAGGGGAUCGAUGGAUCUAGUGAAAAACUUGCUCAAAAGCCACUUUUUCUAUACCUUGCCUUCGGACGUCUGGUGUUCUACGGACGUCCGGUUCCUCUUGAUUGCCCGGACGUCCGGCCACUUCCGGUCGUCCGGCGUUCCACAACAGAAGCAUUUCUACGGAUGUCCGGAACUCUCCGGACGUCCGACACUUUCACAACAGAAGCAUUUUUACGGACGUCUGGACUCUCCGGUCGUCCGUGCUCCGGAUGUCCGGCCCAGCUCGGACGUCCAUAUCCUGUACACUGGAUUGUGGCUCACAUUCUCACAGCGGUCGGUCGUCCAAUGACUGUCGGAUGUCCGGACCUAUUUGUCCCUUCGGACGUCCGAUGUUCUCCGGACGUCCGACCCAUCCUGUACCCCAAACGGUCACUUGUACUCACCACCUAUAUAUAUACCUCUCCCUUCCACGGGAUAAGGUUGACCAUUCACUUUGAGCCUAUCAAGAACACUCCUCACUCUCUCUCUCAUUCAUCCACACCAAAUCCUAGAUUCCCAAGUGUUCUAGGAGCAUUUGAGAGAAGUUCUCCAAUCAAGUGAUAGAUCCACUCCUUCCCCUUCUUUGCACCAAAGGAAUUCGUGAUUUGAGCAAGUUUUGAGCUUUCCCCCAUCGUUCUUGUUACUCUUGGAGGUUGGAGACUCCUAGGCGGUAGGAGUCAUGCGGAGAGGAAUCGAACUUUGUGAUUACCCUCGGAAAAGUUUGUGAGGGUUUGGAGACCACCCCAAGGUCUACCACUAGUGGUUGAUAAACGCCUCUGUGGUGUUGUCUCAAAGGGAGAAUAGGGUGAGCCUUCGUGGCGUUGGUGUGCCUUCGUGGUAACAUCCACCUCUCUAACGGUGACUAGCUUCCCUCCAAGGAAGUGAACAUCGGCAUACAUCCUCGUCUCCCGGAGUUGCGGUUAUUCCUAACCCUAACUCUCUACUUGUGGUUACUUGUCUCUUUACACUUACGUACAUUAUAUUGUGCUUGCCUACUUACGUGUUUGUGUUGUUUGCUUAGUACUUUGUGCUCACGUGCAAUUGUUAGGCUCAUCUUCAUAUUCUGCAUUAUUGCCUAAAAUUGCCAAGUAAUAAUUAAAAUUUGUAAUUGUACCUAUUCACCCCCCUCUAGGUCCAUCUCGAUCCUUUCAAUUGGUAUCGGAGCCUCAUGCUCUAUUCUUGUGGUUUAACCGCCCUAGAGCGAGAUGAACCCAGAUGGGACUCCCCUGGUUGUAGAUCCUAAGGAUAAAGGCGAGGUUUCUUAUGAAGUCAAGUCCUUUACGUCUCAGGAUCUAGAAUGGGCCCUUGCUAAGCAAAAAGAGGAGCAUGAUGCUUCUCUUGAGGCCUUGGUCCAACUGAGAUUAGCCACGUUGUUCGUGGUGCUUCCACCACACUCAAGUGGUGUGGGUUCGAGGUCAAACGUGCCUACAUCAUCACUUGGUCAACAACCUCCUAGCAAUGAACACGCCAGUGUUCCUUGGCUUUAUGCAAGACCUCAGGUUGAGAAACCAAGAUAUAAUCCUCAAGGAAAACCUCCUUUACUUAGUGCUACUUCCGAUUUUGCUUUGUGGAGAGUUGCUAUGCUGGAUCAUCUUCGACAUGGAAACGAUGAGAUGCUGGAGAUUAUAGAGUAUGGCUAUCAUGUGGUUGAUCCAAAGAACCCCACACCAAGAGAAAUAUAUGACAAGAACCUCAAUGACACGACAAUCAUGUGUAUAAGGAGAGGUAUGGAUGAAAAGCAAAGGAGACCGUUCAUACACAUCAGAUGUGCCAAGGAACUAUGGGAAAGUAUUAUACGAUCCAGGACUGGCACCUCUACCCUCCGGAGUGCUCAAUAUGAAAUUGCCAAGGGGCAAUUGCAAAACUUUUGUAUGGAAAAAGGUGAAACCCCCAAUCAACUCCUUGAGCGUCUCACGACUCUCACUGCAGAUAUUGAGUCAUGUGAGUGUGACAAGACACAAGAUGGAUUCAACAUGACUAAGAGGUUUCUUGUGGAUAAGUUGCUUCAUGCUCUUGCUCCAUAUCAUCCUCAAAUGGUGUGCGACAUACGACAACACCAUACCUUCAAGGAAAUGACUACAGAUGACAUCAUAUCCACCUUCCAACUAUUUGAAGAGUCAAAGGCUAAUGCCACAAAACAUCUUGCCAUGCAUGGUUCCCUAUCAUCAAAGAUCAAUCUUGCAUUGAAGGCCAAGCAAGUAUAUGAAGAUGAGCAAAGUGAAGAAGAAGAAGAUGAUGAUGAUGAUGAAGAUGGUAAUGAGAUUGAAUCGGACGAGGGCCCUUCGUAAGAAGACAUGGCUCUUUUUGUCAAGAAGUUUAGCGCAGGAAAAUUCAAGGGAAGAUUUCAAAAGAAGAAAGUAAGAAAAUGCUACAACUGUGAAGAAACCAAUCACUUCUCCAACGAGUGCCCUUAUGAGAAGAGAGAAGAUAAACCAAGGUUUCCCAAGAAGAAGUUGCCAAAUCCUUUGAACUCCAAGCUCAAGAAGAGAGAUGGAAAGGCAAUGGUUGCUCAAGAAGAAUCUGAUCCGGAUGAUGUUAGUGGUGUUGCCGGAGUUGCUCAAGACUCUCAAAACACGUUGAGGUUAGUAAACAAGAGUGGUGACGUGGUCACCUAAAACUACAUGAAAGAUUACAAGGGCAACGCUCACAAGUGCCUAAUGGCAAAGGCCAUGGUUGAAGAAGGAGAGGACCAAAGCUCUUCUGACAAAGUCAAGGUAACUCCACGAUCAAAUCCUCCUCUUUUCACACCUUCUACUCCUAGUGAUGAGUAUCUUGAUGCGGGAGGAUAGCUAUGAGGAUGAUGAUCUAGAUGAUCCUAUGAUUGCUAAACUUAAUAAGUUCAUGUGCUCCCUCAAAGGAAAGAAACUCACUAUGUUUCGUAUGCUUAUGGAGAUGGUGAGUAAGCACACCAUCACCAUUAAGGAACUCGAAACCCUCGUCACCGAGGAAAAGGAAAAGUGUGAAAUCCUUGAGCGGAAAGUCCAAUAUGAGGAUGCACGAAAUGAUGAACUAUGCUUAAAAAUUGGUGCAAAUAUUGAUGUUCACACUAAUGAUCUUGCCUCCUUGAAAAAGGCUAUUGACUCUUGCGAAGAGUUAACGAAUGAUAAAAGUAAGCUUGUGAAAUCUCAUACUUCUCUAUCUAAGGAUUGUGAGCUUCUAUCCGUGUCUCUCAAGACUAAGGAAGGAGAGCUCACUGUUCUUAGAAACAGUUUUGAGACGCUCAAUCUUACUUAUCUUGAAACUCUAGCCAAGGCUUACUCUUCCCCUAUUAUAAAUGUUGAUGCUUGUACUACUAACUCUAGUAGUGAUCUAGCAUCUAUUCUUGAGGAAAAUUGUUUUCUCAAGGCUCAAAUUGAGAAAGGUCUCAUGACAUGUGCUCAAGGGCAAAAGAAUCUUGAUGAGAUUUUGAGCCAACACAAUGAGGUGUUUGCCAAAGAGGGACUUGGGUUUGACCCGAGCACAAGCAAGAAGAAGACAUCCUCUCAAAAGUGCACAACUCCUCUAAAAGAAACAUUUGUAAGAGAAGGGCACAAGGAGAAAGGUAAGGUUGUGAGUGGGAAGGCCACAAGGGGCAUGCCCACUCUCAACAAGCCAAAAGAGUUCAUGCCUCCAUCCUAUGUACUUCAUAAGACUAAGGAUGGAGAAGUUUAUGCAAAGUUUGUUGGUCCUCGAAAUGCAUUUCGGUUUUAUGCUAUUUGGGUCCCUAGACCCUUGUGACUAACUUGAGAGGUCCCAUUGCAAAAUGGGUGCCUCUAACCAAGUAAUAAUUGUGUGUAGGUUGCCUUCUCCGGUGGAGUAAAAUGGGUGAUUGAUAGUGGAUGUACCAAUCAUAUGACCGGAGAUAGCAAAUUGCUCUACGACUUCAUGGAAGCUAUUCAACCAUUUAUGAGCAUCAUGUUUGGUGGAGGAUCAAAAGGAAAAGUACUUGGGUUGGGCAAGGUGGCUAUCACCAAUGACAUGUCUCUUGCAAAUGUCAUGCUUGUCCAAUCUCUUAAAUACCACUUGCUUUCUGUUCGCCAAUUGGCUUCUGUUGGUUACGAUACACUCUUUGGACUAACGGAUGUGAAAGUCUUUAAGAGAGAUACUCUCGAAGUGGCUUUUGUUGGAGAGUUGGAUGGCAACCUUUACACGGUUGAUUUCUCGAAAUAGAGCACAUUCCAUGCAACUUGUCUAAUGGCCAAGGCUGACAAGGGGUGGCUAUGGCAUCGCCGGCUAGCCCAUGUCGGCAUGAGAAAUCUUCAAGAUCUCUUAAAGGGGAAUCACAUCCUUGGACUAACCAAUGUCUCUUUUGAGAAAGAUCGUGUGUGUAGUGCAUGCAUAGCCGGGAAGCAACAUCAAUCAAAGCACCCACCCAAGAACAUAGUAUCUACUUCAAGGCCCUUGGAGCUCCUUCAUGUGGAUCUUUUUGGGCCUCCUUCAUGGGAUAGUCUUGGUGGGAAAAAGUAUGGGCUUGUCAUUGUUGAUGAUUACUCAAGAUAUACAUGGGUGUUCUUCCUCAAGUCCAAGGACGAAAAGAAGAUCACCUUCAUUGAUUUUGCCAAGCAAGCCCAACGCAAGUUUGGCAAAGAAAUCCGGGCAAUAAGAAGUGACAAUGGCUCUGAGUUCAAGAACUAUACCUUGGAAGAAUUUCUUAGUGAUGAAGGGAUUGAGCAUCAAUACUCAGCUCCAUAUACUCCUCAGCAAAAUGGUGUAGCCGAAAGGAAGAACCGUACACUUGUAGAGAUGGCAAGGUCCAUGUUGGAUGAAUACAAGUCACCACAUAGUUUUUGGGCCGAAGCUGUCAAUACCGCAUGCCAUGCAUCAAACUGGCUCUUCCUCCGCACUAUAUUGGAAAAGACUCCAUAUGAGCUUCUAACUGGAAACAAGCCAAAUGUCAGGUACUUUCGUGUAUUUGGGUGCAAAUGUUUCAUCCUCAACAAAAGGGAAAGGUUAGGAAAAUUUCAAUCCAAAACAAUUGAGGGUAUAUUUAUUGGCUAUGGAUCAAACUCUCACGCCUAUAGAGUCUACAACAAAUCCAAUGGAUGUGUUGUAGAAACUUGUGACAUGGUGUUUGAUGAAUUUAAUGGCUCCCAUGGGGAGCAAGUUGAUCCAAGUGAUGUAGGUGAAGAAGAUUCUUCUCAAGACAUCUUGACCAUGGGUGUUGGUGCACUUCUUCCUAUGGAACAAGAACCUCAUGAUGAUGAAGAAGAAGAUGGAGGUCUCACACAUCAUCAAACUACUUCAACAUCCAUACCACCACAAGCUCCUAUUGUUCAACCGAUACCCUUGGCCCAAGUUGAAGAGGAUGAUCAAGUCUCUCUUAAUGAUAAUCAUCAAGAACAAGAUCAUCAUCAAGAGCAAGAACAAGAAAGUCCAAUCAUUGAUGAUGAACCUCAACAAAUGCAAUAUGAACAAGAAGAUCUUCCUCCACACGUGAAUGAUCCAUAUGUUGAAGAUGUGGAUGGUGGACAUGAAGUUGAACCUCGUGAAACCCUCACCUCCAUCAUGCCUCGAUUGGCUGGUUGUGUUGAUGUUGACAAAAUCCUCACCGGCAUCUCGGAAGGUAGAGUCACUCGUAAACAUUUGACAAAACAUUUGACAAACUUUUGUGCUCACUUCUCGUUUGUGUCUAGUAUUGAGCCACUCAAGGUACAAGAGGCAUUGAUGGACAACGAUUGGCUAGUUGCUAUGCAAGAAGAGUUGAACAGUUUUGAACGCAACCAAGUGUGGUCAUUAGUCAAGAGGUCAUCUACCGAGCACAAUGUCAUUGGAACAAAAUGGAUUUUCAAGAACAAGCAAGAUGAAAAUGGUGUAAUCAUCCACAACAAGGCAAGGUUAGUGGCACAAGGUUACUCACAAGUUGAAGGUUUGGACUUUGGUGAGACCUUUGCCCCCGUUGCCCGUCUUGAAUCCAUUCACAUCUUACUUGCCUAUACCGCAUUCAAUGGUUUUACAUUACAUCAAAUGGAUGUGAAGAGUUCUUUCCUUAACGGUCCUCUACAAGAAGAAGUAUAUGUGUCACAACCACCCGGGUUCGUUGAUCCCUUUCACAAAGACUAUGUGUAUAAAAUUCAUAAGGCUUUGUAUGGCCUCAAACAAGCACCUCGUGCUUGGUAUGAUCAUCUGAAGAAGUUUUUACUCGAUGAUGGUUUUGUGAGAGGGGUGAUCGAUCCCACUCUUUUUACUAAGAGGGACAAGGGUGAUUUGAUCCUAUGCCAAAUCUAUGUAGAUGACAUAUUUUUGGUUCUCCUAACAUUCAUUUGUGCAAGAAGUUUGCGGCUUCAAUGACCAAGAAUUUUGAAAUGUCAUUCAAUACGGAUUUGAAGUUCUUUCUCGGAUUCCAAGUUCAACAAUUUCAAGAAGGAAUUUUCUUAUCUCAAGCAAAGUACCUCAAAGAUAUUCUAGAAAAGUUUGGUAUGUCUGAUGCUAGUCCAUGCAAGACACCCAUGGCCACCAAAAUUACUCUCACCGAAGACACAAAUGGUAGUCCUUUCGACCCAUCUACUUACCGCUCUAUGAUUGGUUCAUUACUUUAUCUUUGUGCAUCUAGACCAGACAUCAUGUUCAGUGUAUGCAUGUGUGCUAGAUUUCAAGCUUUCCCUAUGGAAAGUCAUCAUAAGGCGGUUAAGCAUAUUCUUAGAUACCUUGUUCACACCCCAAAGUUGGGCCUCUGGUACCCCAAGGAUGCUAAGUUUGAUCUCAUUGGGUACACGGAUGCGGAUUGGGCUGGAGACAAAGUGGAUCGUAAGUCCACAUCCGGUGCAUGUCAGUUUCUUGGACGAUCCUUGGUGAGUUGGUCCUCGAAGAAACAAAAUUGUAUUGCUCUCUCUACCACAGAAGCUGAAUACAUUGCUGCUGCUAGUUGUGCAACUCAGGUGUUAUGGAUGAGGCAAACUUUGAAGGUUUACGGUAUCACCUAUAGAAAUGUGCCUCUUCUGUGUGAUAAUGAAAGUGCCAUCAAUAUUGCUGAGAACCCCAAAGAUCAUCUCCGCACCAAACACAUUGAUAUUAGGUAUCAUUUCUUGAGAGAUCAUGUUGAAAAGGGUGAUAUUCACAUUGAUCACAUUGGCACAGAUUUUCAACUAGCAGAUAUCUUCACCAAAUCUUUAGAUGAAGCAAGGUUCUGUCGACUUAGGCGUGAACUUGGUAUCUUGGAGCUUGACAACAUUAUGUGAAAUCUAGUACCCAUUCAUGCAUGAAUCUAAUGUCUUGUCAUGAUGUAGGCAUAUACUUAGGGGGAGACAUUCAAUUCAUGAAUGUUCUCACCCUACUCAAUGCAUAAAAAGAACCAACACUCUCAAAGUAACCAUGGGUCUAGACCUAUGGUGCUUUAACAUGAUGGAGUAGUGACUAUGCACUCAAAGUUCACAUCUUUCCGUGUCAUGUCAUGUCUACUCAGACAUUGUGGCAUUAGCCACCACUUGUAGUAUAUGGCUAUGAUUGGGUGAGGUAGGGUAUUAGUUACUACAUAAAUAAAUUUUUACUGUGAAAAAGAAAAUUGCCUUCUCCUCAUCAUGAUCAGCACUUGCACAUUUGCCUCCUGUCAAACUUCUAGCGUCGGACGUUCGUAGGUUCUGGACGUCCAUGUGGUUCUUCAAUGCCGGUCGUCCUUAGGCAUCCGGACGUUCGUAAAUUCUUCUCUGAUUACCAUCGACCGGUCGUCCGACCUCUUCGGACGUCCAUAAAAUCCACUCUGGUUCCCGCAGUUGGCCUAGACGCCGAAACGACGGACGUCCGUAAGACUCCGUACGUCCGUAAUAAACUUUCUGUUACAAUCUGUCCAGUCGUCCGAAGCCGUCGGUCAUCCAUAGAAUCAUCUCUGUCAUCCCCUACUUUCUGUUGGUUCCGACUCCGGUCGUCCGUACCCCCCCAGACGUCCGGAUGCUUCUUCGACUCCGGUCGGCCGUAGGGUCCGGACGUCCGGACGUUUUUACUGGUCACUAUAUAUACUGCGCGGUAGGGUUUCUCAACUGACCACAUCCUCUAUCUGCUAUUUCCCCACCGCCGCCGCUGCUCCUGCCGUGUGGCCACUCACCGCGGCCGCACGCUGCCGUGCCCCUCGCUGGGGCUUCUCUCCGUCGCGAAUGUGCGGCCCACUUGGUGCUGCUCCAGCCCGUCCAGCCCGUCAGCCACCUGCUCCAGCCCGCCGCUCGUCUCCUCUGUGUUCUUCCUUUCAAGGUAGGGCACAACCUUCCCCCCUCAUGUAUUCACCCUGAUCUAUGGAGGGGUGUUGAUAUGUGCCUUCCAUCUCCCCUAGGUCAUGAUGCCUCGGUCCAAGCACUCAGCUCGCAAGCAAGUCGCCGGAGGGCCGGCUCGUCCGUCUCGCCGUGGUGGCUCCGACGACUCCCAGGAGGAAGAUCGCCCUCGGAAACGUGCUGCUCGUCCUCCCAGCUCGUCAAGUGAUUCCUCCUCGGAGGGGUCGGACUUUGAGGAUGAGCUUGAGGAGGUGGAUCCGUCCCCGAUGGUUGGUGUUCGCGUCGCUCCACCCAAGCCAGGCACUCGUCGUCCAACCUUUCACCCUCCUCCUCCUCCGGUGCAACCCCACGGUGAUGCUCGCCACAUCUCAAUUGAGCCUCCACUACCACUCAGCCGUAAUGUUAAGCGUUUCAACGAUGUGCCAAAAACUUCAUAUCUUAAAUUGCGUCGUGAUGUAGAUCAAUUUACUGUUGUUAGGGAUUCUCAGGAUAGUCGCUUUCGCACAAAUGUCCAAGCCGACAUCUUCACCAUGAUUGUCAUCCCUAAGGGCUUGUCACUUCAUGCUUGCAUUGAUCUUGAGCACAUUCGCACUCAUCCGGAGAAAUAUCCGGGAGCCAUUGAGCUCAUUGAGUCGUCCAACCUAGCUGCUCCAUUCGCCUUUCAACAUGAUUUUAACCAUGCUGCCAUCCAUCAAUUUUUUGCCACAUGUUACUUUGCUCCUGAUAACACUGUCACAUGGAUGACCUCCGACACUACACUCACAACAUCUUAUGCUCAGUUUGUCACUGCCCUUGGAUUUCCCGAUACUGGGUUCAAAUCCACAAGGAUGACCCCAACCAUAAGCCCAAGGGCAUUGCGGUCUGUAUGGAUCUCCUUAGACCUAUAUCAACUUUGUCUGCCACUGAAAAACAAAAGGGUCUAAACCAAGUCUCCAUUUGGUGCUUUCCAUUCAACAUCAUUUACCAGUGUAUCAUCCGCACCAUCUAUCCCAAGAUGGGUGACAAGGGCUCCUGCAGCAGCUACUGCAUUGAUUUCAUGCAUCACCUCUUCACAUCUCCUAAAGGGAAGAUAAAUGUCCCACAUUUUUUAUGGCAUGAGAUCCGCCUUGCUAGCUUCCAACACAAGAGGGCUUUUCCUCAUGCACCUUUUAUUCAGGGUUUUAUCGAAAGUGUAGCUCCCUUUCCCAUUGCCCGCACUCAGGUACAUGAGCGAUGGGUCAUUCCCGCUCACAUGGCGGCUGAUCAUGUUCCUCCUCCUCCCGCUACUGCUAGUCGCACCGCCGCUAGUGUUCCUUCUCAUGCUACCCAUCCUCCUUCCAGUGCUGCCCCCUUUGGGCACAUUGCUCAUUUUCUUGGGAAGGCUCACUCAGCCAUGAUGAAGAUGUUCACCUACCAUUGCUCCCAACACCACGAUGUGGUCACUCGCAUGGUCACUUCCAAGAACGCAAUGAAGGCUCGUCUGAGAGACUCAGGAGUGUAUGAUGUGAGUGAUGAUGAGCAUCUUCCUGCAGACCCCCCUUCUGACUUUGGUUUUCCCUCCGGUCCUGAGUGGGCUGAUUUCUUCGACGAGGCUAGUGGCAGUGGUGUUCAUGAUGAUGAUGAUGAGGAUGAUCUCUAAUGCUAUUAUGUUUUCCCCCUAGUUCUUUUUUUGGAUACUUGAUGCCAAAGGGGGAGUAGGCUCUAUAUCCAUGUUUGUCUAGCUCAUUAUGUAAUCAAACUUAUUGUUAUGGUUAUGUUUUAGCUUGUACUGAACCUAUGUUAUGAGUUUGUUGAAUCUGAGAUUUGGUGAAUCUACAUGUGAUGAAUCUAUAUGAAGUUUAACUCUUGAUUAUCGUGUGUAUGAGAUUUGGUUAUAUUGGGGGCAUCAUUUUGAGGGGGAGCCCUCAUCAUUUGUUUUAUCUAUGGUAUCACUUUGAGGGGGAGCUCGCUCGCUACUCAUUCUUAUUAUGGUUAUUGAGCUCCACAACAAAUACUUCCGAUUACUAUUAUGAGUAUGCAUAUGAGGUUUCAUCAACUACCAAAAAGGGGGAGAUUGAAAGUGCAAUCAUGCCCUUAAUCAUAUUUUGAUGUUGAUGACAACACAUAUGCUCGGGACUAAUCAUGUUUAUCAAGUAUAUCUCAGGAUUAUGUUUCAAAGACCGUGUACAUGGAUCAUGACUAGGGACAAAAAGCAUAUAACUCAAGAAUGGGGAUACAAGAUGUAGAGUUCAUUUAUGGUUUGUUCUUGAGUAUAGGGAUCCCGCACUAUUAAGAGGGGAUCGAUGGAUCUAGUGAAAAACUUGCUCAAAAGCCACUUUUUCUAUACCUUGCCUUCGGACAUCCGGUGUUCUACGGACGUCCGGUUCCUCUUGAUUGCCCGGACGUCCGGCCACUUUCGGACGUCCGGCGUUCCACAACAGAAGCAUUUCUACGGAUGUCCGGAACUCUCCGGACGUCCGACACUUUCACAACAAAAGCAUUUUUGCGGACGUCCGGACUCUCCGGUCGUCCAUGCUUCGGAUGUCCGGCCCAGCUCGGACGUCCGUAUCCUGUACACUGGGUUGUGGCUCACAUUCUCACAGUGGCCGGUCGUCCGAUGACUGUCAGACGUCCGGACCUAUUUGUGCCUCCGGACGUCCGACGUUCUCCGGACGUCCGGCCCAUCCUGUACCCCAAACGGUCACUUUUACUCACCACCUAUAUAUAUACCUCUCCCUUCCAUGGGAUAAGGUUGACCAUUCACUUUGAGCCUAUCAAGAACACUCCUCACUCUCUCUCUCUCUCUCAUUCAUCCACACCAAAUCCUAGAUUCCCAAGUGUUCUAGGAGCAUUUGAGAGAAGUUCUCCAAUCAAGUGAUAGAUCCACUCCUUCCCCUUCUUUGCACCAAAGGAAUUCAUGAUUUGAGAAAGUUUUGAGAUUUCCCCCAUCGUUCUUGUUACUCUUGGAGGUUGGAGACUCCUAGGCGGUAGGAGUCAUUCGGAGAGGAAUCGAACUUUGUGAUUACCCUCGGAAAAGUUUGUGAGGGUUUGGAGACCACCCCAAGGUCUACCACUAGUGGUUGAGAAACGCCUCCGUGGUGUUGUCUCAAAGGGAGAAUAGGGUGAGCCUUCAUGGCGUUGGUGUGCCUUCGUGGUAACAUCCACCUCUCUAACGGUGACUAGCUUCCCUCCAAGGAAGUGAACAUCAGCAUACAUCCUCGUCUCCCGGAGUUGCGGUUAUACCUAACCCUAACUCUCUACUUGUGGUUACUUGUCUCUCUACACUUACGUACAUUAUAUUGUGCUUGCCUACUUACGUGUUUGUGUUGUUUGCUUAGUACUUUGUGCUCACGUGCAAUUGUUAGGCUCAUCUUCAUAUUCCGCAUUAUUGCCUAAAAUUGCCAAGUAAUAAUUAAAAUUUGUAAUUGUACCUAUUCACCCCCCCUCUAGGUCCAUCUCGAUCCUUUCACCCAGGGGCCGGUCGGGCCACGUGGGCCAUUGGUCCCGGUUCGUCUGGACCUUUUGGUCCCGGUUGGUGGGACGAACCGGGACCAAUGUGCCAUGCUCCUGGCCCACCACCGUUGGUCCCGGUUGGUGGCAUGAACCGGGACCAAAGGCUGCCCUUUAGUCUCGGUUCGUGCCAUGAACCGGGACCAAUUAAUUGCCUAUAUAUACCCCUCGCCCGCGGGCAGAGCACUCCCAUCGCUCUGUUUUUCCUGGCCAGCGAGGAGAGACCUUUGUGGUGCUCUAGCUCACCUCCUAUGCACACGAGGUGUUCGAUGGAAUGCCCGAGCCACACUACUUAAGCUUUCUCCUCUCCAACUCGACCUCCAAGCUCCAUUUUCCUCAAUAUUUGUCUAGGUUUAGCGGUCCGUCACAUCCCGUCCCCGUCUUCACCGCCGUCGAUCGCCCGUGCCGAUCUCGUCGCCGGCACCACCGUGGUGAGCCUCUUGUUCUUAUCUUCUUUUUGAAAGGAAAAAAAAUUCUUACUUGUAUGUUUAUAUAGAUACUUGUAUAAUUUUCUUACUUUUAUUAUUGCAUCUUAUAUAGUGCAAUGGUUUUGGUAUCCGCCCCCGUCGGCCCUCGUCUUGUCUAUGAUUCGGAUGUGGUAUAUAUUAUCUUCUCCAUGGCUGGUCCUGAGAUUUUGGGGGCCCGGGGCGAACCUAAAACAGAGGGCCCUUUCAUAUACUCCCUCCAUUGCAAUGAAUUUUUAGCACUGGAAUUUUUGAUCUCAGCGCCGUUUCAAAUAUACUCCUUCCAUUGCAAUGAACUUCUAUCACUGAAAUUUUUUAUCAUCAAAAACUUCUUCCCAAUACGAAUACAACGGUUUGUUUUUUAUUACAUAGAACCCACAUUUGGCUGGCCUAAUUGUUGGGGAACGUAGUAAUUUCAAAAAAUUUCCUACGCACACGCAAGAUCAUGGUGAUGCAUAGCAACGAGAGGGGAGAGUAUUGUCCAUGUACCCUCGUAGACCGUAAGCGGAAGCGUUAUGACAACGCGGUUGAUGUAGUCGUACGUCUUCACGAUCCGACCGAUCCAAGUACCGAACGUACGGCACCUCCGAGUUCAGCACACGUUCAGCUCGAUGACGAUCCCUGGACUCCGAUCUAGCAAAGUGUCGAGGAUGAGUUCCGUCAGCACGACAGCGUGGUGACGAUGAUGAUGUUCUACGGGUGCAGGGCUUCGCCUAAACUCCGCGACGAUAUGACUGAGGUGGAAUAUGAUGGAGGGGGGCACCGCACACAGCUAAGGAACGAUCACGUAGAUCAACUUGUGUGUUAUGGGGUGCCCCCUGCCCCCGUAUAUAAAGGAGCAAGGGGGGAGGGGCGGCCGGCCUAGGAGGAGGCGCGCCAAGGGGAGUCCUACUCCCACCGGGAGUAGGACUCCCUCCUUCCUUGUUGGAGUAGGAGAAGGGGAAAGAGGGGGAGAGGAAGAAGGAAAAGGGGGCUGCGCCCCUUGUCCAAUUCGGACCAGAGCAGGGGGGGGGGGGGCGCAAGCCUCCUUCCUUUUGGCCUCUCUCCUCUAUUCCAGUAUGGCCCAAUAAGGCCCAUAUACUCCCCGGCGAAUUCCCGUAACUCUCCGGUACUCCGAAAAAUACCCGAAUCACUCGGAACCUUUUCGAACUCCGAAUAUAGUCGUCCAAUAUAUCGAUCUUUACGUCUCGACCAUUUCGAGACUCCUCGUCAUGUCCCCGAUCUCAUCCGGGACUCCGAACUCCUUCGGUACAUCAAAACUCAUAAACUCAUAAUAUAACUGUCAUCGAAACCUUAAGCGUGCGGACCCUACGGGUUCGAGAACUAUGUAGACAUGACCUAGAACUAUUCUCGGUCACUAACUAAUAGCGGAACCUGGAUGCUCAUAUUGGCUCCUACAUAUUCUACGAAGAUCUUUAUCAGUCAAAUCGCAUAACAACAUACGUUGUCCCCUUUGUCAUCGGUAUGUUACUUGCCCGAGAUUCGAUCGUCGGUAUCCAAUACCUAGUUCAACCUCGUUACUGGCAAGUCUCUUUACUCGUUACGUAAUGCAUCAUUUCAUAACUAUCUCAUUAGCUACAUUGCUUGCAAGGCUUAUAGUGAUGUGCAUUACCGAGAGGGCCCAGAGAUACCUCUCCGACAAUCGGAGUGACAAAACCUAAUCUCGAAAUACGCCAACCCAACAUGUACCUUUGGAGACACCUGUAGUACUCCUUUAUAAUCACCCAGUUACGUUGUGACGUUUGGUAGCACCCAAAGUGUUCCUCCGGUAAACGGGAGUUGCAUAAUCUCAUAGUUACAGGAACAUGUAUAAGUCAUGAAGAAAGCAAUAGCAACAUACUAAACGAUCAAGUGCUAGGCUAACGGAAUGGGUCAAGUCAAUCACAUCAUUCUCCUAAUGAUGUAAUCCCAUUAAUCAAAUGACAACUCUUUUGUCCAUGGCUAGGAAACAUAACCAUCUUUGAUAAACGAGCUAGUCAAGUAGAGGCAUACUAGUGACACUAUGUUUGUCUAUGUAUUCACACAUGUAUUAUGUUUCCGGUUAAUACAAUUCUAGCAUGAAUAAUAAACAUUUAUCAUGAUAUAAGGAAAUAAAUAAUAACUUUAAUAUUGCCUCUAGGGCAUAUUUCCUUCAGUCUCCCACUUGCACUAGAGUCAAUAAUCUAGUUCACAUCACGAUGUGAUUUAACACUAAUAUUCACAUCUGUAUGUGAUUAAUACCCAUAGUUCACAUCGUCAUGUGAUCAACACCCAAAGGGUUUACUAGAGUUAAUAAUCUAGCUCACAUCACUAUGUGAUUAACACCCAAAGAGUACAAAGGUAUGAUCAUGUUUUGUUCGUGAGAGAAAUUUAGUCAACGGGUCUGUCACAUACAAAGCCGUAUGUAUUUUGCAAAUUUUCUAUGUCUUCAAUGCUCUGCAUGGAGCUACUCUAGCUAAUUGUUCCCACUUUCAAUAUGUAUCCAUAUUGAGACUUAGAGUCAUCUGGAUCAGUGUAAAAGUUUGCACCGAUGUAACUUUUACAACAAACUCUUUUAUCACCUCCAUAAUCGAGAAACAUCUCCUUAGUCCUCACUAAGGAUAUUCUUGACCGCUGUCCAGUGAUCUACUAUUAGAUCAAAAUUGUAUUCCUUUGCCAAACUCAGAGCAAGGUAUACAAUAUGUCUGGUUCACAACAUAGCAUACUUUAUAGAACCUAUGACUGAGGCAUAGGGAAUGACUUUUCAUUCUCUUUUUAUUUUCUGCCAUGGUCGGGUCUUGAGUCUUACUCAACUUCACACCUUGCAACACAGGCAAGAACUCCUUCUUUAACUGUUCCAUUUUGAACUAUUUCAAAAAUUUAUCAAGGUAUGUACUCAUUGAAAAAUCUUAUCAAGCGUCUUGAUCUAUCUAUAUAGAUCUUGAUGCUCAAUGUGUAAGCAGCUUCACCGAGGUCUUGCUUUGAAAAACUCUUAUUCAAGUAUCCUUUCAUGCUAUCCAAAAUUUCUAUAUCAUUUCCAAUUAACAAUAUGUCAUCCACAUAUAAUAUUAGAAAUGCUACAGAGCUCCCACUCACUUUCUUGUAAAUACAGGCUUCUCAAAAAGUCUGUAUAAAACCAUAUUCUUUGAUCAACUCAUCAAAGCGUAUAUUCCAACUCCGAGAUACUUGCACCAGUCCAUAAAUGGAUCUAUGGAGCUUGCACAUUUUGUUAACACCUUUAGGAUCGACAAAACCUUCUGGUUGCAUCAUAUACAACUCUUCUUUAAUAAAUCCAUUAAGGAAUGCAGUUUUGUUUAUCCAUUUGCCAGAUUUCAUAAAAUGCGGCAAUUGCUAACAUGAUUCAGACAUACUUAAGCAUAGAUACGAGUGAAAAACUCUCAUCGUAGUCAACACCUUGAACUUGUCGAAAACCUUUUGUGACAAUUCUAGCUUUGGAGAUAGUAACACUAUCAGCGUCCGUCUUCCUCUUGAAGAUCCAUUUAAUCUCAAUGUCUCGCCGAUCAUUGGGCAAGUCAAUCAAAGUCCAUACUUUGUUUUCAUACAUGGAUCUCAUCUCAGAUCUCAUGGCCUCAAGCCAUUUUGCGGAAUCUGGGCUCACCAUCGCUUCUUCAUAGUUCAUAGGUUCGUCAUGGUCUAGUAACAUAGCUUCCAGAACAAGAUUAC
RNAcentral lists this long non-coding RNA (56425 nucleotides) under Triticum aestivum (bread wheat). Its description in RNAcentral is "long non-coding RNA (TAES_LNC003926)". The stretch from base 7374 to 7460 matches the Rfam family "MIR1120/MIR1122 microRNA precursor family". The record is from RNAcentral. Lineage: Eukaryota; Viridiplantae; Streptophyta; Magnoliopsida; Poales; Poaceae.